UGUACCUUAAGUGGUUAUGAAUAUUCAUCUUGCACUUAAGGUUUUAAGUUCGAUUUCUUCCUCCUUCACUAUUGUUUGUAUAAAAAAAGGUCAAUGUGUAUUUUAGACAUGGGAUGAGAGCAAUUCAUUGUACGAUCUCGUUAAUCUGACUCGAAAAAAACAUAUUUCGAGUUAAUCUGUUAAUAGGUCGGAUCAUUAUCGGAUCACCUCUUAAGAAUUCAAUAAGAUAUCGUUUUUCAGAUCUAGACAUUAGGUAUAACAAUUACUUGUAAGACUCGUUAGCGACUUGGGUCGUUAUCCUAUCACAUAUUAAAAACUCGUAAAAAUAAUUUGUAUGACAUGAAAACAACACGAACAAACAACACAUGGCAUGUUUACCAUGCCAAAUAACAACUAUGCAUGAUCAACCUAAUAACAACACAUGGCAUGUUUACCAUGCCUAAACUCGAUCUAACAGCUGAAAACGCGUUUCUAUUCAACCUAAAUUCACAAAAGGGAAAAUUUUCAUUUUCUGGCUCACGUUGGAGGUACAAUUGGGCCAUAUUUAGACAUUCACUGUGAUGGUUUGGUAUAAACAAGGCCUGCCUGCCACUCGCCAACAGUCCAACCUUUAUGAACAACUUGAUGUACACUUUCUUCAACUAGUGUAAAGUUCCUUUGAGAUUUUGUCACUUGGGACAAGCAGAAUCGAAUAUGAGCGGUACUUGGAGUUGGAAUUUAUAAUUGAAGAAUAUUAUCUAACUUCUACAUUUGCCUUUUUCUAUUUAUUUUUCUCUGUCAUCACUUGAUACGUGUGUUCUAUUCAAAUUAAACUACAUAAUUAAUGCAUUAAAUUCAUAAAUUCUAAUUUUUCAAUUUUUUAUAAUUUUUUAUAAUUAAAAGGAGGGGAGGGUUCGAACUAUUACAAUAAUUUAAAAUAUAUAGAGUUUCGAACUUAACGCAUGAGUGAAGACUCAACACUCUAUUCACUAGAAUAUUUGACCUUAAAAGCAUGAAUUAUGUAGUUUAAUUUAUUAGUUGAUUACAUGUAUCAAGUGAGGAUAGGAAAAUGUAGAUAGAUAAAAGGCAAAUGGGAAGGGUAGGAGGAACUUGUCCAAAAUCCACAAAUUUUUCCAUUUUAAUCUUUAACUUUCAAGACUCAAAACAUCUUCUACAGAUAUGUCAAACUAUUAGUGAAUGAUUUAGAAGUUGGCACCUUAUGUAGAUACUCUCAAUUAGUCCAUUGAACCACAUAAAAUCACAAGCAUAUAUCACUUCCUUUCAAUGCCGAAAUGAUCUGAAGCGAGUCGCUCUCGAAAAUAACAUUGUAGAAACCCUUUAUCAACACCAAAACCAAGCCUUCCCUAAAAGCUAAAGCCUCCGCGUGAAGAGGGGAUGGAACAAGCUGAAGUUUCUCACAGCCCCUGUAACAAAAUUUCCAUGGUAGUCACCCACCAGCACCACAAUUCCAACACCUUUAAUCUUGAGAUCCUUGUUCCAAGCAGGCAAGCACCGUCAAUGUUCACCUUGAGCCGCCCCAAAGGUGGUCUUUUCCAUUUGAACUCUUCCGGGUUAGAAGGUCUGGGCUUAGGGGGGCUUGAGUUGGUACAAACAAACUCAUGCCAGAGACAUAACACGAGAGACAAGGAGAGACAAGGAUGUUCGGGGCUUCAAGCUUGUUAUUGCAAAGCCUUGAGUUCCUUGCUCACCAUAUUCCCCAACUCAACAUAACGAGGAGGGUGGGAAAGAAUGCAGUCGCAGCGAGCGAGUGACUAGAAUCAUAGUAAUUUACUAACUAGUUAGCGUUUAAGCACUUACGUGCAUAUAUUUAAUUUACAAUAUUAACUAUGAUGAUUGUUAAUGUAUCUGUCUCUCUAAAUAGUCUACUUUGGUUAUCAAAGAGCAAACAACAUGUGCAAAGAGAACAAACCAACUCUAACUUCAAUUUUUCUGGUGUGUUUGUGGUGUAAAUGUAAUCAUGGGACAAUCAAAGCAGUAAAGAUAUAUAGGAUAGGAUCAUUGGAGAGUGAUUAAAAUAUACAAAUUAGGGUUUUAAUAAGGUGAUCUCAAUAUGUAGGACCCAUAAAUAGAAAUUCAGAAGGCAAAGAAAUGAGAUUAAUUUAUGAAAAAGAGACCAAGCUUUCAAGGGAGCUUGAGAACCGUGGUGACAUUAUUCGUAUCAGUAGGACUUUCCAGCUUUGCUCCAAUCAUGCAUAUCAAUUAAAUGAAAAAAAGAUCCAAAAUUAUAUAGAAUUUACUUAAUAGAUGCUCUUUUCUCUUAGCUUUGAUGAACGCCAUAGGGUUUAUUUAGAAGGAUACUUGCAUCUGUUUAUUUGAUACAUUUGGAAUUAAACAAUAUUCGAUUUGAAUGAUUUAUUUGUAAGGAUGAGAUCUUCAAAUGAAGAUUAAGAAUUUGAACGACUUCGAUUAUGAAUUUAUACAAUGAAAAUACGUUAUUCGCAAAUGAUAAGAUAUUUGCAUUAUUCAUCCCUUAAAUGAUGCAAGUAUUAUCGGUUUAGUUAUUAAAUUGAAGAUAAAUAAUAUGGAAGCUAGAGAUCAUUUAUUUUUUUUCCCUCCAUAAAAAACUCAACAUGAAUUAAUUAGACCAAUUGAUAAAAAAAAAUGUGCUUGUCAUUUUAAAUUUGUGCUUCGAUCUUUCUUCUUAUGGAUUGAAAGAAUAACGCUUUGUGAACAGAAAAUUUUCUUUUGGAGAAAACAAAUCAAUGGGAGAAGGUAGUACUAGCACAUCAUAUGGUGUCAUUUAUUGGAUUAUAUGAAAACACAUAAAGUCGUACACGGACACAUGCAUGUUCUUUAACUCUAGUAAGUUCUAUGGUACAUGAAAUAAUUCAAAUUUGAGUAAUGCAUGGGUAGAGAGUACUAUAUUUAGAAAAAUAAUUAAUGACAUAAUAUCGAAUGAUAACUCUGCAUAUGCAAUGAGUAUUAGUAUAUACUAUUUACAUUAGUCUUGUUGGUAUCACACAUAUUGGAUCUCAGACUUUGACACAUUGGACCUCAUUAUCCAGCCCAUAAUUAUGUAAAAGGAGGAGCCCUUAUUCUAUAAAAGAGGACUCCUCCCCCCUCACAAAGGAGACUAGGGGAUACCUCCAAAACAUACAAGUCUCAAACAACUCAGAGACAACUCUUUCUUCCUCAGGGGAACUCCCCUUGAGCUUGUAAUUCAUACAUACAGUUACAGAGAAAUACAAUCAACAUCAGUGUGGACAUAGCCCAAACAUUGGGAUGAACCACGAUACAUCUUUGUGUUUUUGGGCGUUUGCAUGAUUCACGGUCGGAUUUACGUUGUUCCAAGACCUUCCGGUUUUGUGCAUCAACAAGUCUAAUACUCUAAACCAAGUAGACAGGGUGCUCAAACAAGUAAAUGAAUAGACUCCACUGAUGCCUUCUGAACGGUGAGAACCAGUUUGCACGUAUUGGUAUCGAUCUUGAUUACAAAAGAUUAAUUAGAUGUUAUGGUUGUAGAUCAAGACGGUUUGUUAAAAAAUAAAUAAAUAACUAACUUAAGUUAAGUUACAAUACAAGAACUCAUGAGAAAAUGAAAAUACGACUGCGAUGCCGACCUAGAUACAUAGAUUGUUUCUUUUGACAAAUGUUGUUACAUUUGUUUUUAUCUUAGUACUUAGUAAUAUGCAUUAUACACGUAGCCACCUAUAUUUUCUAUAAAUAAAAACCACUACACGUAUGUCUAGAUAAUAUACUAUAAAUAAAAACCACUAAACAUAAUCAUAACAUUAAUUUAUGAGUCUGAACACUCUUUCACAUGAUUAUAUAUCUAAAGCAAUAGGACAGGAAAAACUAUACUCUUUCAGAUUUUAUAGUUGUUAGAGACUGGUGUAUUAUAGCCACCUGCAUGCAACCAAGUAAACAUACUUGGGAAUGAAGAGUACAAAGAAUUCAAAUUCUCUCUAGAUCUCGCAAUCCGGACUAAAUAAAUUGAGAAAUUCGGACGGUUUAAGAGAGAAGAGGAGAGGAGAUCUAAACUUUUAAUUUGUGUGAAGUGAACCAGUGAGAUAAGGGCCAUAAGAUUUAAAUAAGUAAUCUGAAUUUCUCGACCUAUCUAUUUUGAAUUUCAAAAUUCGGAAAAAAACUUGAUUCUAGUAAAAGAACUUGUAAUUUCUACAUUUAUCCCAUCCAUUCUAAUGAUCAAGCCCAUUUGAGGCAAGUAAUUUUAUCUUUCUUGGAAGGGUUUUUAUCACAAAUGGUCCCUGAAAUUGACCUACCCAAUCAAGAUGGUCCUUGAAAUUGAAAAUCGAUUAAUAUAGUUCCUGAAAUUGGGUGUCGCAAAUCAAUGUAGUCAUUCCGUCACAACUCCGUUAAAAAUUUUGUUAUGUGCUGAUAUGGCACAUAAUUGGGUUCUACAAUAUAAUAAAAUAUUGCCAUGUGGAUUAAAAGUAUUUAAAUAAUAAUUAAAAAACUAUUUUACAUAAUUAAAAACAAAAAAAAAGAGAAAAAGAAGAAGAAGAUGACUGUUCUUCCCCUCCUACCCAGCGACCCACCAUUUUCAUAAUCUAGCUCAAUUUCAUACUAGCUUGAAUACUAAACUGAACAUAUUCAAAAUCCAAAAAUUGAUCAAUCAAAGAAAUCUCUUACUUAUUUACAUGUAUAACACAGGCUGAGCAUUGAGCAAGCAUCAAGUAGCAGUAAGUACCUUGGUUCCAGGAACGAGCUUCUGUGAGCCCAAGUUUCAAAAGCCGCCGACUACUCGAAUUCCUCGCAAAAGAAAGACCACAUUUUUCUGUCCCUUCAUCUAUUUUCUCAGCAACCAAACAGAAAACGAGAAAAAUUAACGAGAAAUACAGAGAGGUGUGAUUUACCUGGAGGACUUUGGAGCCGAGGAGGUGAGAGGACUUUCGGAGCGUAUGCGGGUCGGGCAAGGACCUGGCGGAGAUGGAUUUUAGGUCCAUGUUGGUGAGCUCGGCUUCCACUGAAUUCACCACCUUACGCUUGUCGUCGGACAAGGCGGAGUGGAUCAGGAUAAUCGCCUCCACUUGUUCGUGGUCGCGAAGCACCAUCCUCUGGUUCUUAAGGUUUCGAUUGCGGCGUCGGAAGCGGCACCGGAACUCCCUCCAUUUUUCAGCGCCUGUUUGCCGCGGCCUGCACCUCCAGGUCGAGCAAUAUCGAGGAAGUUUCAUUUCAAAUUACCGUCACCGGCGAACACGAGGAAUGCGGGAAGGGGUGCGACGGUGCCGUUUCAAGGGGAGAAGAAUGGUGGGUCGCUGGGUAGGAGGGGAAGAAGAUGAUGAACGGUCAUCUUCUUCUUCUUUUUCUCUUUUUUUUUUUUGUUUUUAAUUAUACAAAAUAAUUUUUUAAUUAUUAUUUAAAUAUUUUAAUCCACAUGGUAAUAUUUUAUUAUAUUGUAGAACCCAAUUAUGUGCCAUGUCAGUACAUAACAGAAUUUUUAACGGAGUUGUGACGGAAUGACUACAUUUAUUUGCGACAUCUAAUUUCAGAAACUGCAUUGAUCGAUUUUUAAUUUCAGGAUUAAAUGUGUUAAGUUUAGAAAUAAAAACUCUUCUUGGAAUAGGGAAGAGAUACAAUCAAUGUUUGGAAAAUUUGUGAGAAAAAACGAUACCAUGAUGUGAGUACUCUGUGUAAACGAAAAACACUUGCACGCAAAUGCGUCAGUUUCUUUAAUCAAUAACACAAUAUUUAAAAACUUUAGUACGUAUGACGAUGCACUACAUACUUCAUAUGCCACCAACUUAGUGUUCCAUUUACAUAUUUAUUCUCUGUUGCAUGUACAUUUUUCUGUUUCAAUUGUACAUAGGUUUUUCUAUUUCUGAUGCAUAUUAGUUUUUCUUACCAAAAAUCCGAUUGUACAUAGAUUUUUCUAUUUCUGUGGUAGGUAAGUUUUUUUUAUCGAUAAUCCAUUUAGAUAAAAGAAGGUUUUCUACAAUAUCACUUUUCAAUGAUUUUACGGAGCCCUCCUCAGUAAGUGAGUUGGACUGGUCUUUGAUCCAAUUCCCCAUGCAAAUAUAUUCAAACUCUGUGAGAUGACUACUUAACACAGAGCACAAAGUUGUAUUAAGUAAUGUUGAAGAGAAUAAAUUUAUAAAUUAAGUUUCCUGAAAAUUGAUAAUUGAAUUACUAAUUAAAUAUUGAUAAAUAUGUUUAAUUUUAUUGAUGAUAUAUCAUUUAGUUUUUAAAUUUUAUCUAUAAAUUUAAUUUCUUUAACAAUACUCUGUCCAAAUAUAUACAGUUUGGUAUUAGUUUAUCAAAUUUGAACCCAUUUGGACACGAACCCUAGUGUACAAAACAAGGUGCUGAGUUAGGAUUCCACUCCCAAAGUCCUUCUCUGAAGUCCUUUCUGACCAAUCUUUGGCUUCUGUGAACCAAGUGAGUGAGAUUAAGAUGUAAAGCACAUAAAAACAAAAAGAACCCAAUACAAAUUAUUAUUUGAUUAUUCAGGACAGUAACAAAAAUAAUAUUAUACAAAAUACCAUCCAACCAUACAUUCACAAUUAGGAACCAGGAUUCUCUCCUGAACAUUUCCCUAGGAAUCCUGCAAUCUUAUCCGUUCAUCGUGUAUCGUACGGUCAGAAAUUAUUUUAAAAUUCAAAUAUGAAUAGUAACUAACGAAAACUGACCGCACGAUAUAAAAUAAACGGACAAGAUUGCGGAAUCCCUAGGGAAAUGCUCAGGAGAGAAUCCUGAUUCCACAAUUAGAUUCCCCCAUCCAUCUCUGUCCAGCUUGUUUAUCGAUCGAUCGAGACAGAGAGAGAGAGAGAGAGAGAGGGAAAAGAGAACAUUAAGAGAUGGGUUAACUGCUGUUCUUGUUGGUAAUUUUGUUUAUUUAAUGGUUUGCAUUUUACAUGAUUGGCCCCCAACUCCCACUAAUUAUCUUAUUAUCUUAUCGACUAUAAAACGUCGUACCAGCAAGAAACUUUUUGUCUUUUUUGGAAACUUUGACGGUACGAGGAUAAUUUUAUAGAUAACAAAAAAAUAAGUUACACUUAUUCAUGAGGGACAUAAACCCUACUCUUAAAAAAAUAGAGAAAACAAAAAGGAAUACACAAAAAAGAAGGGGGUAAACCUACGAAGAAAAGGGAUGGGGGACAUGAAACCUAACCUUUCUAAAACCAAACCUAAAGGUCUAAACUUGCAAAACAAGUCAAACAACACCAUAAAGUUGGGAGAAAAAAAAAAGUGAGACAAACCUGGAUGCCGACAUGCACAUUAAUUUGAGAAGCGGUAGUCAGGCAAGCCAACAUAGUCUGAAAACAAAGUAGCACGAACCGCCAUCGGAGGAGAAUCAUGCCAUGUUAAAGAUGGAGAAGACAAGCCCAUGUUAGCAAAUUAUCCGCAACAAGAUUUCCUUCACGAUAUAUGUGAGAUGUGUAUAAAGUCAUUUUCUGAAUGCGAUCCAAACAAAUAGACCAUUGCGUAUGAAGAGGCCAAAGUGAUUGGUUUUCUCUUUCUUCUGGUUAUCACCUUAUUCGUAGGAGACAUAGUGAUUGUGCUUGGGCUAAAGUUAUCUGGCAACAUUUUAUUCCAUCACGACUAUCUAUUUUGGCUUGGAGGCUUUUUCAUGAUAAACUUCCUACAGAGAGUGCACUACAACGACGUGGUAUUUCUUUGGCAUCCAUUUGUUGUUUAUGUCGUAGUUCUGAAGAAUCUAUUAUUCAUCUUUUCUUUGGAUGUCGGAUAUCUAGGCAAUUUUGGAGGUGGUUAGCAUGUCAAUUUGAUACCUCUUUGCCUUUUUCAGAUUAUUUGGCUGUUUUUUGGGAUGUCUAUGUCUGUAAGCCCUUUUCCAAACAGUUGCACAAUCUAUGGAUUUUUGCGGGUCUUUCUACUAUUUCAGCUAUUUGGAAGGCUCGAAAUAAAUUUAUUUUUUAGGGUCGUCCAAUUUAUUUUCAUCGUCUUUGCAUGUCUAUCAAUUUGGCAACUGUUCAUGGUGGGAAGUUUAUUCAUGGUUAUUCUCAGGGUUUUAACACUCGAAUCAUUUCUUCUUUGGGGAUCCGACCUAUCCCUUGCAAGGCACCUAUUAUUCUUCUUGUCCUUUGGUCUUCUCCUUGGUUUCCUUGGGUUAAGCUUAAUACAGAUGAUUUGUCUAAAGGAAAUCUCGGUCCUGUUGCUUGUGGAGGAGUUUUCAGGAAUUGCCAUAGUCAUUUUCUUGGAGGUUUCUAUCAAUGGAUUAGUCAUCGCAACUCUUUUUUUGCAGAGUUAUCAGCAAUUAUUAUUGGUAUUGAGUUUGCAUAUCAACGGGGUUGACAUUGUUUUUGGUUGGAAAGUGAUAGUUCUAGCAUUAUUUCUGCUAUUUUGUCGUACCGGCAAGAAACUUGUAGCUUAAAUGGUUAUGAUUAUUUAUCUUGCACUUGAGGUUUUAAAUUCGAUUUCUUCCUCCUUCACUAUUGUUUGUAUAGAAAAAAAUGUUCAAUUUGCAUUUUAGACAUGGGUUGAGCGUAACAACUAGCCUGACAAUUUUUUGUACGACCCGUUAAUCAGACAAGAAACGACACGAAAAUAACAGGUUUUAGGUUAACCUGUUAACAAGUCGGUCGCUAAUGAGUCACCCAAUAAGAUAUCAUUUGCUAGACCUAAACAUUAGAUAUGACAAUUUCUUGCAUGACUCGUAAACGAAUCGGGUCAUUAUCGAAUCACUUGUUGAAAACCCGUUAAAAUAACGAGUUUGACACGACAUAACAUGACCCGUUAAGACAACAUAUAUGACAUGAAAGUGACAUGAACACGAAAAACACAACCCAUUUGUCAAGCCUAAUAACAACUAUGCAUGAUCACUCGCUCUUUGUAUUCGAAUUUAAAUCUCCUUAUCUAAAAUUAUAGUAGUUUGAAAUAAAAUAUCAUAUUGUUAAAGAGCAAAACAUUUGACACUCCUCCAUUUUAGAUAUAUAAGGAAAUGGAAGUAUUAGCCACAUGUAAUCGCUCCUUUUUAUUCGAGGUCGCAUCUCUUUUGUGGUAAGUUAGAGCAUUUUCGAAUCAUUAUUGGAAAAAAAAUCAUUUCACUCACCUCCAUUAAAAAUAAGAAAUUUGCGAAUGAUCUUUUUACAAUGCUAAUCAUUUAUAAUAUUUUACUCUUUUAUGAAUGAGUUGUUAUGCUCACGAUAUUAUUUGAGUGUGAAGUUCCAUUCAAUGGCUGCACAAACAAAUAAAUUUUGAUUAAUGUAUAUCAUCAAUCUAAGAACUAGAAACCAAAUACAUAUAUUAAUCACCGUCGAUGUAAUGUUAAGGAUAUUAAAUUUUUAAACUAAAUUUUGCAAAAUAAAUGAUGUGGUUGUUGAUGAUUGGAGUAUCAUUUAAAUAUUGAUUAACGUGUUUAUUUCUUAUUGGGGACACCUCCUUUAGUUUGCCUGGUAGUCAAGCACCAGCACCACAAUUCCAACACCUUUACAUUCUUGUUCCAAGCACCGUCAAUCUUCACCUUGAGCCGCCGUAGAGGUGGCCCUUAUCAUUUGAACUCUUCCGGUUUAGAGGGUUUGGGCUUGAGUUGGUACGAACAAACUCAUGCCACAGAGAAAUAACACAAGAGACAAGGAUGUUCGGGGCUUCAAGCUUGUUAUUCCAAAGCCUUGAGUUCCUUACUCCCCAAAAUGCUCGAUUCAACAUCAUAAGGAGGGUGGGGAAAGAAUGCAGUCGUAACGAGUGACUAGAGUCAAAGUAAUUUACUAACUAGUUAAUCUUUAAGCACUUACGUGCAUAUAUUUAAUUUACGAUAUCAAAUAUGAUGGAUAUUCAUGUUUUUGUUUCUCUAUAAAUUAGUCUACUUUAGUCAUCAAAAGGCGAAAAACAUGUGCAAAGAGAAUAAACCAACUCUAACUUCAAUUUUCUUGUGUGUUUGUGGUGUAAAUGUAACCACGAGACAAUCAAAACAGCAAAGAUAUAUAGGAUAGGAUCAUUGGAGAGAGUAAUAAAAAUAUACAAAUUAGGGUUUUAAUAAGGUGAUCUCAAUAUAUAUGUAGAGACCCAUGAAAUAGAAAUCAGAAGGCCAAAAAAUGAGAUUAAUUUAUAAAAGAGACCAAGCUUUUAAGGGAGCUUGAGGACUGUGGUGACAUUAUUUGUGUCCGUAGGACUUUCCAGCUUUGCCCCAAUCAUGCAUGCAUAUCAAUGAAAUGAAAAAAGCUCCCAAAACCAAAUAUAAUUUACUUAAUAUAUGCUCGUUUCUCUUACCUUUCAUGAAGACCAUAGGGUAUAUUUUGGAGAAUACUUGCAUCCACGUCUAUUUGAUACAUUUGAAUAAUUAAAUAAUUUUAUAUUCGAAUGAUUUAUUUGUAGGAUGAGAUCUUCAAAUGAAGGUUGAAAUUGAAAGGUUUCGAUUAUAAAUUUAUACAGUAAAAAUAUUUUUUUCAAAGAUAGUAGGAUAUGUGCAUUAAUUCCUCCUUGAAUGGUGCAAGUAUUAUCAGUUUAGUUAUUAAAUUAAAGAUAAAUAAUAUGGAAGCUAGAGAUCAUUCAUUCUUUUUCCCUCCAUACUUUUGAGAAAAAUGCAACCUAAAUUAGUUACCAGUUGAUCAAAGUAGCGUGCUUGUUUUUUUAAAUUUGUGUUCGAAUCCUUUUUCUUAUAGAUCGGAAGAAUACAUGCUUGGUGAAAAAAAAAUCUUUCAGAGAAAACAAAUCAAUGACAUAAGGUAGCAUAUCAUAUGGUGUAAUUUAUUGAAUUAUAUGAACCCACAUAAAGUCGUACAUGGCCACAUGCAUGCUCUUUAAAUCUUACAAGUUAUAUGGUACAUGAAAUAAUUUAGAGUUGAGUAAUGCAUAGGUAGAGAGUACUAUAUAUAGAUAAAGAAUUCAUGACAUAAUAUCGAACGGUAACUUUAGAUAUGCAAUGAGUUUUUAGUAUGACUAUUUACACUAGUCUAAUACUCUAAUCCAAGUAGACAGGGUUCUCAAACAAGUAAACGAAUAAACUCCACCGAUGCAUUUUGAGCGACGAGAAUCAAUUUGCGCAUAUUGGUAUUCGUCUCGAUUACAAAAGAUUUUAGAUGUUAUUGUCGUAGAUCAAGAUGAUUUGUUUAAAAAAAGUAAAUAGCGUACUUAAAUUAAGCUACACUACAAGAACUCAUGAAAAAGUAGAAAUACGUUGCCGGCCCAGAUACAUAGAUUAUGUUUCCAUGCCUAGACAUCGAUGGAAAAAAUUUAGAAGUACAAAAUUUAUAAACACGUGAUAAAAAAUGUUCAGAAUGUGAGAGAGUACCAAUUGAAGAGAAGAAUUCUAUGUGAUUUAGUCAUCCAAGUUAAUCUUAAAUCCCUACUUUAAGGUUAGACAAAUUUAUGGCAUGUUUAAUAUUCGGAAUGGAGAAAUCAUGAAUUGUCAGUGGUAGGGAAGAUAGGAUGAGCAUAGAUAAGUUACCCUUCUAAUUAAUCUAAUUUGUGGGUUUUCAGAUGUCAGGUUACAAAUUGUAUACAUGUUCGUGUUAGUAAACGUUGUAAUGGAUGUCUGAAAUUCAAAUAUACUUUCAUUGUGUAUUCUAUGAAAGUAAAUAUGCAUAAAUUUCUUUUGAAAAAAUGUUGUUACAUUUGUUUCGAUGAGAUCCUUAAUCAUAGUACUUAGUGAUAUACAUUAUACGUGCAGUCACCCAUAUUUUUAUAAAUAAAAUCCACUACAUAUGUGUACUUAAUCAUAAUACUAAGAGUCUGAACACUCUUCCACAUGAUAUAUAUAUAUAUAUAUAUAUAUAUAUAUAUAUAUAUAUAUAUACACAGGGAGCUUAAGGGGAGGGAUCCCCAUUUUUUCAAAAAAAAUGGGGACACGCUCCCCACCGUUAGAUUGACUUUAAUGAAAUUGUGUUGUUGAAAUUAAAACACAGGCCAUAGAAUCUCAACCACAGGAUUUCAUUUAAGUCAAAUCCAACGGUGGGGAGCGUGUCCCCAUUUUUUUGAAAAAAUGGGGAUCCCUCCCCUUAAGCAAUUCCUAUAUAUAUAUAUAUAUGUAUGUAUGUAUGUAUGUAUGUAUGUAUGUAUGUAUAUAAGAAAAAGGACAGAUUAUACUAUUUCAGAUUUUAUAAUUGUCACAGACUGGUGUAUUAUAGCCCACAUGCAUGCAACCAAGUAAAAGUACUUUUUUUUUUGUCAAUCAAGUAAAAGUACUUGGGAAUGAAGAGUAAAAAGAUUUUUUCUAGAUCUCGCAAUUCGGAUUUGACGGGUUGAGAAAUUUGGACCGUUCAAGAUAGUGAAAGUCAAAAUUUUGUUUUGUGCGAAAUGAGCUAAUGAGCUAGGCUAAUAAGGAUCAUAAGUGUUAAAAUAAAUAGUCUGAAUUUCUUAGUCUGUUGACUCUGCAUUUCAAGAUCCUUUCGGAAUCUUGAUUUGAGUAAAAAAACUUGUAAUUUCUACAUUUAUCCCAUCCAUUCCAAUGAUCAAAUCCCAUUUGAGGCAAGGAAUUUAUCUUCUUGGAGCAGGGAAGAGAUACAAUCGAUGUUUGGAAAAAUUGUGAGAUAAAAAACGAUUCUAUUUUUUUUUCAUAAAAAAAAACUAUUUUCCGAAUACUUUGUGAACGAGAAAAAAUUAUAUGUAAAUGUGUUAGUUUUUUUAACUAAUCACAAUUUAUUAAAAAUUUUAGUACAUACAAUACACUAUAUACUUAAUAUGCCACCAACUUCAUGUUCCAUUUACAUUGCAUGUAUGUUUUUAUAUUUCGGUUGCAUGUAAAUUUUUCUUAUCAAAAAUCCAUUUAGGUAAGAAAGUUUUCUACAAUUUCACUCCUCAAUGAUUUUACUGAGUUCUCAGUAAGUGAGUUGGACUGGUCUUUGGUCCAAUUUCCCAUGCAAAUAUAUUCAAACUGUGUCGGAUGACUUCACACAUAGGGCAAAAAACCUGCAUUCCCAAAUAUAUAUAGUCCAGUAAAAUAUACAUUACUAUACAGUUAUAUAUUUAUUUAUUUAUCAAAUUUGAACCGAUAUGGACACGAACCAUAUUGUACAAAACAAGGUUCUGAGUUAGGUUCCACUCCCAAAGUCCUUUUCUCCAAAGUGCUUUCUGACCAACCUUUGGCUUCUGUGAACCAGUGAGAGAGAUCAAGAUGUACAGCACGUAAAAACAAAAAGAAAUUGGCAAACCCCAAUACAAAUUAUUGUUUGAUUAUUCAGUACCAUAACAGUAACAAUAUUAUACAAAAUAUCCCUCUUCUGCAAACUUCUUUUUAAGCCAUUGGAGCAAUAUUUAAUGUUCAAAAAACCUCACAGAUCCAACCCAUACAUUACCAAUUAGAUUCCCCCAUCCAUCUCUGUCCAGUGUCCAGCUUGUUCAUUGAGAGAGAGAGAGAGAGGGAAAAGAAAAUUUUAAGAGAUGGGUUUCUGAGAAGUUGCAGGGGAGUAGGGUCUUCAAAUUUUGAAUAUUAUGAAUCCAACCAAGGUAAAUAAUUUCAUUUAUUUUUUAUAAUAUUCUGAAUAAAAUGCUUGAUUUCAUUUAAGUGCAUGAAAAAAGAGAAACCCAUGAUUGUUUUUAACCAGUGACUGAACAAUCAUUGAUUCUUGACAUGGAUUUUCUUCUUCUCUCUUUGUCAAAUCUGCAGCAUAAAAACAAAGUUCUUCUGGCUAGCUCUGAACUGACCCCCCAUAAGAUUGGCCCACACUAUGGCAAGUGACAUACAUCAACAACAGAAGAAAGAUUUCAAGAUUUCUCCUGUUUGGGUUUUUUAUUUUUUUAACUAUUGCAUUCAUCUACUGCCAUCUGAGAAGAAAGCUGUGAAAUUUCUGACCAAAAAAAUGAUGCUUCUGGGGACCUGAGAAAAUGCACAAUGUUCUUCAAAGUACAGUUUAGUGAAAAGGAGCGAUAAUACGAAGGGAAGUGAUUUCCGCACACCCGAGAUGAGAUCUAACGAAGAUUUGAAGUUGGCAAUGGUGGAAGAAAACCCAACACCAAAAUCUGCUGAGUCCCCUCAGAAAUCUCCUCUGGACACCAUGGUUUCCAAUGUCCUCACCAUCAAAACAGCUUCUUCAGCAGCAGCUACAGGUAAGGAAAUUACUGCUCUGUCCUCGCCCUACAGUUCCCCUUCCUUAAUCUCCCCACCCUCCUCAGCAUUUGUUUCGGCUCUCCAGUCGCCUUACAUUUCCCCCAGAGCCUCAACCCCCAAACCCCAGGAAACCCAGCAGACCCAGCAGACCUCAAACCCAGCAACUACCCUGUCCUCACCUUACAGGGGUCCACAGUCAGAUGACAUACCCAGCAGCUCCUACACUCCGCCGUCGGACCUGUACGAGUACUCCGACGACGUCUCCGACCCAUUAAAGCACAAGUUCGACAAUGCCCCUCCCCGCAUUUCCUUUUCCUUUCCGGUCCCUCGGAUUUCGUUUGCCAAAUGCGGCGGGGCAGGCGGCCCUGUUUCCCCUGCUUCCUCCGCCACCAAGCUGCGGAGCUGCGACGUGUACAUCGGAUUCCACGGCCAAAAUCCCAACUUGGUGAGGUUCUGCAAGUGGGUGAAAUCGGAGCUUGAGCUCCAAGGCAUCGCAUGCUUUGUGGCGGACAGAGCCAAGUAUUCGGACUCUCAGAGCCAAGAGAUUGCUGACAGAGUUAUCUGCUCAGUCACCUAUGGAGUUGUGGUGGUUACGAGCUCGAGCUUCUUGAACCAUUUGAGUAUGGAGGAGGUAAGGCUUUUUGCCCAGAAGAAGAAUCUUUUUCCCAUUUUUUUCGACACCAGUCCUGAAGAAGUUUCAGGGAUUUUGAACUACAAUUCGGUUGAGAAAGAGUGCAGGGAGGCGGUUGAUGGGAUAAUGAAGUGUAAUGAGUAUAAGUUGGAGGCCAAUGACGGGAACUGGAGGAGCAUUGUGUCGAAAGCGGCCGGAGUUUUGAGGGGCAAGCUUGGGAGGCAGAGCGUUUCACAGCAGACGGAUGUGGAGGGAGUUGAUGAGCUGCCUUUUUCGAGGAAUAGGUUUUUUGUUGGGAGAGAGAAGGAGAUUGCAGAGAUUGAAACCGCAUUUUUUGGUUCUUCUGGGGACUUAUUGGAGCAGGAAUGCUCGGUGGUUAAAGGCGAAGCGAGUGGCCAAUCGGAAGGGUUAGCUGAUGAGGAGAGUGAAGUUGUUACUACUAGAGGGAGGUACAUUAAUUUGGAGGUGGGAAAAUGCAAGGAGCCUAACUUGGAGGCUUGGAUUGAACCACCAGUUGUGGGGCGGAAUUCGUUCAAGAGGUCGAAGUACAAGAGAGCGAAAAGUGGAAGUUACAAGGGCUUGGGGAGUAGUGUGAUCUGCAUAAAUGGGGUUCCCGGGAUUGGCAAGACGGAGCUUGUGUUGGAAUUCGCUUACAGGUAUUCCCAGAGGUACAAAAUGGUGUUGUGGAUAAGUGGGGAAGCUAGGUAUUUUAGGCAGAACAUAUUGAAUCUGUCUCAGAAUUUGGGGUUGGAUGUGAGUGCUGAUGCUGAGAAGGAUAGAGGAAGGAUUCGAAGCUUUGAGGAGCAGGAAUUCGAAGCGUUUAAGAGGGUGAAGAGGGAGUUGUUUAGGGACAUGCCUUACUUGAUCGUGAUCGAUAAUCUUGAGACUGAGAGGGAGUGGUGGGAAGGGAAGGAUUUACAUGACUUGAUCCCAAGGAACACAGGAGGGUCUCAUGUGAUCAUCACAACUAGGUUGUCGAAAGUAAUGAAUUUUGACGCAAUGCAGCUUCCGCCCUUGCCUGCGUCAGAGGCAAUGAUUUUGAUUAGAGGAAGGAAAAAGAAAGAGUACCCGGCUAGGGAGUUGGAAUUUCUGACGAAGUUCGAUGAGAAGUUAGGAAGGUUGAGUUUUGGUUUGUGGCUGAUUGGAUCGCUGCUUUCGGAACUAGCCAUUGCGCCUUCUGCUCUCUUCGAAGCUAUCAGCCAAGUUCAGCUUGAUGAGGGCUCUCCUUGCCCUUUCAUAAGCAUCACUGAAGAGCAGUACUACAAGAACAACAUUUUCCUAAUGAAAGUCAUAGCUUCUUGCUUCGCCGUCUUGCAACAAUCUAAUGGGAGAAUCAAUCAUCUUGCGUUAAGAAUGCUUCUUGUUGGCGCCUGGUUUGCUCCAACACCGAUUUCCUUGACUCUGCUGACUACUGCAGCUAACAAUAUGCCCGCCACAGAAAGCCGGCUAAGGAAGUGGACUAAUUGCAUAAGUGGCUGCUCUGGUUGCUUUGGACCACAAGCAUGGAAGAGUAGCGAAGAAGAUUCAGCACUGCUUCUUGUUAAAUUGGGAUUAGCGCGAGCGGCAAAAAAACCAUUCGGAUGCUGGAUCCAAUUCCAUCCCAUUACACAAGUAUACACAAAGAGAAAAGAAGGUUUAGUAGCUGCCAAGGCAACAAUUCAAGGCAUAAGAAAAAUUGGCAAUCCAUUGGUGAACCUAGACCAUCUUUGGGCUACUGCAUUCCUUGUUUUUGGUUUCAAAUCCGAACCUCCCCUCGUCCAGCUAAAGGCGAUCGACAUGGUUUUAUACAUCAAGAAAACCGCCCUCCCUCUCGCAAUCAGAGCAUUCACAACCUUCUCCAGAUGCAACUCGGCAUUGGAACUUCUAAAGGUGUGCACUAACGUACUUGAAGAAGUAGAGAAGUCGUUCGUAUCACAAAUCCAAGACUGGUGCCACGGCUCUCUCUGCUGGAAGAACAAGCUGCAAAGCAACCAGAGGGUAGAUGAAUACGUGUGGCAAGACGUGACGCUGUUGAAGGCGACAUUGCUGGAGACGAGGGCAAAGUUGCUGCUUAGAGGUGGGCAUUUCGACAGCGGCGAAGAGCUGUGCAGGACUUGUAUCAGCAUCAGAACAGUGAUGCUAGGGCAUAACCAUGCUCACACAUUGGCAGCUCAAGAAACUUUGGCAAAGUUAGUAAGGAUGAGAAGCAAAAUAUAAAUCUCCGUUGCUUUGGAAACAAGCAAGCCUUUGUUCUAUGAGGAACUCAGUUUUGUUAACACUUGUAAUCAAAUCUUAGUUUAGUUUGUAAUAUCGGCAAUUUAGUAGACCAUAUAAUUUCCGGUUAGAGAAUAAGAGCACUGAAAUUUUGCAUUUAGUUAUCUGUUUUUUUCUCCGGCUUUUUAGCACCGAAAUUUCAUUGAAAUUUCAUUAUGAUACAAGCGAUAUUCUAUUUUAAUGAAUCAAACCACUAGAAGAAAAAACAAAAAAAAUCUAGUGUGCACGUGUCGCUAUGAUAGAAUACAUUUGCAUACAAAAGAAUACAUUUGCUCUAACCAAUGUAACGUUUGGAAGCACUAAAAUCAAAGGGUCCCAUGUUGAUAGAUAAAGCAAUAAAAGGUUUGCCUGGUGUCAAGUGACAUGGUCCAUCCAUAGCAGUAAUCAAUAUUUAUGUGUUUUAUGGUUGGAGGGACAAGGACAUUUCUUCCAUCACUUUAAACAUAUUGCAUACAAAUUUAUCUGAAAUUUAGUACAACUUAAUCAAAGUAAUAUGAGAAAUGCUAAUGAGAUUCUUUUAAAAAUAAGACUUUUCAUGGAUUUUUUGUCACAUUAUAUUUUGAGACAAUGUUUUAUAAUGUUGACAUGAGAAUUGACGUUAAACUGUGAGGUGACAAAAAGUCUAUGAGAAUUUCACUUUGAGAAAGUCUCUUUAGUAUCUAAUAUUUGAGUGUGAGCAAACAAAUUUGGACUUGGUUAGAUCAGUUAGUUAGAGCAGUGUUUCUGCUACUUUUCGUCGGAGUUCGAAUUCUCUCCUCUUAAGUUAGAGUAAAACUAUAAGAAAUUCAUAGCAUUGGAAUGGUGACACAAGUGAAUAUGAAAUCAACGUCUUCAUUCCAUCAAAAAUAGAAUCCACAGAUCAAUGUUAUAAGGGAAAACCCCAUUUUCAAUUACAGUUUUACACACCUAAAUCAAUCCACCACAAUCUAUUAAAAAAAAAAAUUCGUAAAAAAAAAAAAAAAAACGACAAGCAUUUCUUUGUCGUUUGUUUGAAGUCAAACAAAAGUCAAAACAACAAAAUUACACACCAAACCCACAUUAAAAAUAAAUAAUUGAAUUAUUAGACUGAUGAAGAUGUGGGCCCAAUCAAUCCCUGAGAAGCAGCUUCGGUCUCGUUGAGAAACAAGCCUUCUGUGUUCGUAAGCAGCCCGUGCACCGCACACAACAUAAGCCCAACUCCAAGGCCCAAUGCAAUACUCCCAAGCCCACCGCUGGCCCAAGCAACCAAAACAGAAACAACCACCAGGCCCGCCAUCACGGCCCAAUUACUGACGUGGUGGCCCCACACCUCAAGUGGGUCCUCCCUAAAAACAUAGAUCACCAGCCACAACCCCACGACGGCCACCGUCACCAGAAGCCAGCACGGGCUCCCGAUGAGGGAUAGCACCCCGCAGGAUCCGAUCAAUAACAAGUAGUUGACCCGGAAGUGGUUGGCGUUGGUCUGGAUCCUGGUCAGGGCAGAGGAUAAGGAGUCGGGUCGGGAGAUCGAGGAGGCGAAUUCGGACCAUGGACGGCGGCGGGAAACGGCGUCGUUGAGGUUUUUGAUGGAUCGGGUGAUGGCGUCGGAGCCCGAGACCGAAAUGGGUAUGCUGGUAUAGGUUGUUGCUGUGACGGACUGCGACGGCGACAUUUUUUGGAGUGGGGUGGUUUGAAUGUUUGGUUCGUUAACCUACCCUUCAAACCCUUCAACCCUGUGAAGUCUGUGAGGCUGUGACAGUCUCUGAGUUUGAUUGGUUGGUGAGUGGGGCUGUGAGGGACAGACAGGGAAGGGAAGCGUGAAAGGUGAAGAUUUGGGUUCGUUAGUGGAGUUUCUAUACGUUGUUGUGAAAUGGUAAAAAAUGUUUGUGUACAUUGUGACAUUUUACAAUUAUUAUCGUCCGGGUGUAAAGUAUGAGCUCGUCCGAAGGUGUUUUAAACUCGCUUCAAGCGUUACUGAUGAAAAUGUUUUUGUAACUAAUUUUUAAUAAAAUGUAAGUAAAUUUUGAAAAAAAAUAUUAAAUACUUUUUGGAAUAAGCACAUAAUUGAUGUUUUUUGUAAAAAGCACUUCAAGUGCUUUUAGAACCUAAAAAUAUUUUACCUAAAAGCAUUUCAAUCAUUUUAAAAACACUUAAAAACGAGUUGUUUCUCUUUGGUUAAAUAUUAACCAUUUUGAGUUGCUCAAGUGAAAGAGAAAAAAUUGUAUUUCUUCUUUGGAUAAACUCAAUUUUUGGGGGUGGGGGUCGAACUACAAUGAAGUGUUACCAAUUUAAAUAUUGUAAUAAGCGUAAACUCUAAGGUUGGCAUUUCGUAAACCUAUGAUAUAAUAUUAAUAAAAAGAUACGCGUAUUAUAACAUGAGUAAAUUGAUAAUAUUACGUGACAAUAUAACUGUCACACUGAAUAAUUUCUCAAUUAACUGAACUGAAAUGAUCAUUUUAAUCUGCAAGCUAAGACACAAUGAACUUGUAUGUCAAAUGAUCAAGAACAUUUAACUUUACAGUUGUUGUCUAAGUUCGAUUUCUCCCUUCCCACUAUCACUCCAAAGAAAAUCUACAAGCUAAAACUAUAACUCAAAUUCAAACAAGAUUAAACUUAGCAUAAGUGAAUAUAAAUCAUUUCAAUAUGUACAAUAUUAAUUACUAACGUAAACUGGAAGUUAUGCUAAAGCAGAUUUUAGUUGAAUUUGGACGCGUUUAACUCUUGACCAUGCAGAGAGUUUAAUCUAAACUUGCUAGGCUUGCCAAUUUGUCAAUGAGUUCAGACUCAACUCGUGAUCCCUCUCGAAGGUGUCAAUACCAGUUCAAAUUUAAGAUUCUAUCUAUUUUUGGAGUUUGGAUCGUUUUCGGAUUUUCAUAUCCAGAAUUUAAGAAUCAUAAAAUUUGAACUUUUGGUUUGUACGUAAGAGAGAUCGAAAUCCUUAAUUUGUGUGAGUAUGGUUAACGGAAUGAGAUAAUGGAAUCGUCGGAUUUAAUUUGAGUUGUCCCUUUCCAACUUAGUGUUUAAAUUAAUUCAUUAUCAUCAUUGUGCUUUGACUUUUGUGCUUGUUCUUCAUACGUACACAGAAAUUCCACUUCCGCUAAGACGUGCAAAGCCAACCUUUUCAACCCAAACUCAAUGCCUUGUAACAGUAUGUGUGUGGGGGAAUGUCUUUUAUAACGAAACAAUUAAUUAAAGAAAAACUAAUGAAAAAUGAUUGAAAAUUUUGAGUUUUAACGAAAAUGACAAAAUAAAAAGUAAAAUGAAUAGUACCAUGAUUGAUUUUUUAAUGUAAAAAUGUGAUUUUUCGUUACAGUGAACAAUAUUGAAAGCUUUUCGUUAAAGUUCCCUUAAUUAAAAGCUCAACUUAUAGUUUAAUUGGCUAUGCAUAACCAAUCUAAGAGUAUUUUGUGAUUGGUUAUGGAAUAGAUGUUUUUAUUUUUUACAGAAAAAUUUAGAAAUUAUUUUCUGGGUAAUGAAACUAUUUUUUGAAAAAACACUCGUUGGAUGCUUUUUCAAGAAGUACUUUUAAAUCCUCUAUUGGACUUUGCUGUCCAGAAUUUAGGAAUCAGAAAAUCUAAACUUUUGAUUUGUGCAUAAGAGAAAUCGAAAUCCUUAAUUGUGUGAGUAUGGCUAACAGAAUAAGAUAGUGGAAUCGUUUGAUUUAAUUUGAGUUGUCGCUUUGCAACUUAGUGUUCAAAUUAAUUAAUUAUCAUCAUUGUGCUUUGACUUUUGUGCUUGUUCAUACGUACACAGAAAUUCCACUUCCACUGAGACGUGCAAAGCCGACUUUUUCAACCCGAACUCAAUGCAUUGUAACAGUAUGUGUGUUGGGGAAUGUCCUUUAUAACGAAACAAUUAAUUAAAAGAAAAAUUAAUGAAAAGGGUUUGAAAACUUUAAGUUUUAAUGAUAAGGACAAGAUAAAGGGUAAAGUGAAUAGUAUCAGGAUUGACUUUUUAGUGUAAAAAUGUGGUUUUUCGUUAAAGUGAACAGUACCGGGUGCUUUUCGUUAAAGUUCCCUUAAUUAAAAGCUGUAGUUAUGCAUAACUAAUCAAGAUUAUGUUUGUGAUUGGUUAUCGAAUAGAUAUUUUUUAUUUUUUUACAGAAAAAUUUAGAAAUUAUUUUCUGGGUAAUGAAACUUUUUUUUGAAAAAAAUACUCGUGGGUUGCUUUGAAGAAGUACUUGUAAAUCCUCUACACACAAUACUUAUAGUUUUAAUAAAAACUACAAUAAUAUAAUUAUAAUGAAAUUACUUCUAGUAAAAGUGUUUGAGUAUAAAUCUUAAUUCGUACAAAAAUAAUCUUUGUACGGACACAAAAAUGAGGUACAUUAAAGAAGUUGGUCAUGCGAUCUCUUCGUAAAUAAAGUUAUCCCGAACAACCAAUCAUGUUUGUCUUAAAUCUUCAAUGCAUAGGAAAAAAAAACGAGUUUGUUUUCUCUUUUAGGCAAACGACCAACUUUUUCUUCAAGUAUAAUUUUAAAACAUCUGCAUACAUGCAAUCACCCACAAACUAGACGUAUUAGAAUUAAUUUUGAACCCACAUGACCAACUUCUUCCUAAAGUAUAAAAUGUUAAAAAGAAAACUCCCUAAAAUAAAACUUUGGAUACAUGGAUUCACUUACAAACUACUGGAAUCGAAUUUUAAAAAGAAAAACUCUCAUUUCCAACUUACUUGUUUCCAACUUGUUUGUAAAGUUUGAAACUUUAAAUACAUGGUUACAUACAGAUCAUUUAAAACUUCGAAAUUUUAAGAACUGUUUGACAAAAUGUUAAAUGAACAAGCCUUUACAAACUAAAUAUUUGAAUCAAGUUUUGAAUUAUGAACAGGAUUAAGCAAAGAUGGGAGGAUCAUAAUAAUGUUAUUACUAUUAUAAUAUGAAAGAGAGAUUAUCCAACUCGUUACUCAAGUAUUUCCCUCCUUUCUCCCCCUGUCUCUCUCUCUCUCUCUCUCACACUAAGUCUUAAAGAGUACUCAAUACCUCUCUCUCUCUCUCUCUCUGUCUCUCUCUCUCUAAGAUUUUCAACGUUCAAGUAAUGCUCCUUUUGAGAAGGCUUAAUAAGUAUAAAGUGACAAGAAGAAAGAUGAAGAAUGGCCCACAACCGACAAUUCAAACAAGCAGAGCCAUUGUCUUUGUAUAGAGUGUGUAAUGGGGAGUUGUCCAGCUUUCACCAUGCAAAAUUCACACACCCCACGUUCCAUCCCUUUGCCUUCCUUAAAAUAAUAGUUUUAGCUUACCUUACUUGACACGAGUACACAAUAAUCAUGAUAUUUUAUAUUUAUAAUAUAAUGAUAUGUGAAAAUCUGUUUUCAAAGGACGUUGUUGGAUUAUUAAUAUAUAACAUCACGAUAACAUCAUACUCAUAUAAGUUGCUCUUGUCGUCUAUUUACGUCAGCACCUUAGUAAGCAUCUAUAUGGUAUAAUGCGAAUCCAACGGCCAUUUAUUUUGUGUUUCAUCUUGUCGUUUAUAUGUACCUUCAAAUUGACCAUGCAAUGCACCUCUCUCUCUCUCUCUCUCUCUCUCUCUCUCUAACGGCUACAUUUCGUGGUAAGCCAAACUUCCAUGCAUGCUCAUGAAUUCCUGAACAAGCAAAGGUAAUACAGUACCAUAUAUAAUUAUGCCGCGUACCAUGCAAAAUGAAGCUAUAGCUAGAGGAUAAGAGAAAACAAAAAACGAAAAAUAAGUAGUGACUGAAAACCUACGUAGAAUUAACCUAAUUUUAUUGAAUAUAUGGGGUUUCAUCCGUCACUAUUUCCUGUGCAUUUCACUUGUGUACUCCUCGGACCCCACUACAAAUACAUAUAUAUAAUGUAAAUUUGAUUGGUUAGAAAAUACCUUGUCUUAGCAAAAUCUAAUGGUGGAGCCUCUCAUUUAUCUAUAAACGAAACACAUACAAUAUUAACAUUAACCCAAAGACGAAGAAGAGCAUAUAUAUAUAAUCAAGUGUAAGAAGGAUGAUCAAUUUUGAUUGCGGUACAUGUCUGCAUGUUAGUUUUUCAUCGUGAAAUUUUGAACCGUUCAUUGCAUAGUUAUUUUGUGAUCAAAGGUAAUUUCUUAAACUUUCACCUCGACCACCAUUUCAUUUGCAACCAUGCAUUCAGAAGCUCUCAUGUUCAUGGAAAGAUUAAUUAGCAUUACCAUAACUUCUAAUAAGCAUCAACAUUUUUUUGUCCAGCCAGAAAAAAAUGAGAGGGAUGUUCAAUUCCAGUUUUAUUUAUAACUUAGGUGUAUGUUUGUAUACAUUUUCUUGAAAACAAUGAUGAAUCAACGUAAACAAUAAAGAACCUCUUGCCCUCCAAGCAAUUGAGUUUGAUCUAUGUCUGAAGUUCUGCAGUAUUCGAAUGCGUGCUAAUUUACGGAUGUGCAGAUGAAUCGGGAUGAACCAGAAAUAAUCGAUUUUCAAGACUAGAACAUGGUGCUGUGCUUCACAUUUGAUCAAGGAGAGGCCGAACACACAAGGAAAUUAAGUACCUCUAACAAAAUUCUAUAAGAAAGAAGAAAAAAAGGGACAUAAACGCCUUACUUAUACUGAUGCUCGAAAAUAUUCACUUUCGAGCCAAGCUUUUAUGUCAACUGUAUAUUAUUCAUGGAUUUUCCUUAAAAACACUGUCUAUUCUCUGGAUAGCUUAAAGCAUGCCUAAGCAGAAACCUGAAAAAAAAUUGCAUGAUUUCGAACCAACGUUUGGUAGAGUAACAGCAUGUGGACUGCACGCCAUUUCUCCUCAUUCAAACGCGACAUGUUUUUCUAUGACAAGCUCGGUGAAUCGUACAGUGUAGAUCUCAGAUGUCCUCUUGGCGAUGGUGCUGCAAGAAAAGAAGCCCGGUGCUGCACACCCGAGCCUUCUGAAGUAGUACAACUCCACUUAACAGGACUACUAUUAUUGGCUAGCCUGGAGGGAACUGCAUGCAAGGUGGUGUUGUACAAAACGGGUGAUCCACAAAGUAAAGAAGGUUCCUGUGACUCAUAACGAGAGAAAGGAUUAUUCACACGCUUUGAGUUAUAACUGGGAGCUGCUGGAACUGGACUGACGGAACAAACUACUUGGCUUUCCCUCAACCCUUCAGAGUACUUUGCAACACUGCAGGUCAAAUCAGCUUCACUUUCCGGAACAUCAUCAAUGAUGAUAAUUUCUUUACUGGCACUGAAAGCAGAAUGUCCAUUCUUGCGUUGGCGGUCAGGAGGGUUCAUAAUUCUCUCCAUAUGAAACGCGGGUGCUCCUCCAAUGGGUUUGCUUAUAUACCUGUUCUGUGGCAUUGGAAAAUUAUGAUCGCCGUUAUACUCAUGAGGUUCCAUGGAUGCCACAAAACUGCCAUCUGUAUGAUGCUUUGGAAACAAGCUUGCAGGUCCUCGUGCAACCACUUGUGGUGUCCUCGGAUUGCUAUAGCUUCUAAAACUGUUGAAGUGCGCUGCACUUGCGUCAAAACAUUCCCCCACUUUGUUAUGUUGAAAGGAAUGAUAGAACUGAUUCUGAAGAUUGCCAGGAACAACUCCUGAGAAGGUUGGAAACUGUGAAGUUAGAUGGUUAGUUUGCGCAAGUGGUUGAGCCUGCACCGGUGGAACUGAUGUAUCUUCCUCUUUGUUGACCACCAUCAAAUUCUUUCCCAUUAGCCUGAGUAUCGAAUUAGAAGCAGAUGGACUAAAAGAAUCACUUUCACUGUGACCUGACAACUUCCCUUUGCCAUCUGGAGAACCCUUCGAAGGAUGGUGACUGGAUGAUGACUUGGUGACAGGAAAAACUGCCUGUUCAGAUCUCAAUGUUGUACCACCACUCAGAAAGAACGAGUCUGUCAUGUCAGACCCCGACUCCAAAUUGUUAGUUCUUGUGUUUGGAUUGCCACCCAUUUGCUUUCCCAUGGCAGGCAGUGCCAUUGCUCGCCGCAUUAAUAGUGGUGAUUCUUGAUAAUUUAAAGCCAAACCCUGAGAAGUUCUCUCCUUUCGUUGACAACAGCAUGGCUGAUCGUUACUUUUGAAGCUGAUAGGUCCCCUCUCGAGAGAUAUCUUGGUGACCUUAAAGUUUUCUCUAUCAAAAGAAAGUCUUUCAGCUGCUGUACCAGUUAUAUGUUGGGCUGCAGUGGCAUUAAUUUCUUCAGAAGUACCACUAACUGCACGUGAUAGGCCCGGCCUGAUCUUGUCCUGAGCAGAUUGAGGUCCUAUGGAAGAUGACGGUUCAGAAUGCUUCAGGUCAAACUUUGUCCCUCUGGAAUUAGAGAUGGUUGAUGUUGUAGAAACUGGUGAAUCUGAUGAAUCCCCAUCAAUAAAAUCAAGCUGAUCUUGAGAUGAUUGAACUCGGCUCGUGGUUAGUGACGAAUUCCCUUGAAAAUCAUCCGACCCGAUAUCCCUAGGGCUUGGCAAAAACGAUCCUGGUGGCCCUGGGAUAAGUAUUGGAUCAACCUCAGGAAAAUAGCUUCCUUGGCCAUCAUCAGAGUCCAUUUCCUCCAUGCUAUGAACAUUCUGCCCUAGUGUGCCAUCUUCCAGUCCAUCACCACAAAACAUCUCUUGCUCAUUACUAAUGCUUGGAUCAGUUGGACUUGUUACUGCUUCGGUUUCACAGAAACCUAUUAGGGCAGGAUUUUCACUAACCAUGUCACCAUCAUGGAUUUGAUCUUCCCUCUCAGAACCUCCCAGGCCAUCAACUUUUUCCAGAUAUUCAUCACGAACGGUAACAGAAGUAUCCAUCUUUUCCCUCUCAUCAUGUCCAUAAAACUCAGGUGCAAAUUGAGAACCUUCCAAGGCCAUGGGUUCAUCCCUUCUAGAGCUACUUAAGGAACCUCUACAUUUUCUCCUCUGCAACACAGUGCUUCUGGAUACUGAUACUUCAUCGCUACAAUCUUUUCGAAACCGCUUUCCAGCAAAAUUAUGCAUGAAAUCAUACUGUUGAUCAGCCUCAGAAUCCCAGGCAGCAACCUCUUUAUCUAUUUCUUCCCUUUGCCCUUGAUUCUUAGCAGCUGAGCAAUUCAUAGCGACACUGGGACUGGAUUCAGUCAAAGAUACCCGCCUGCCAAUAGCCAACACAUUUUUCUUUGGCGGGAGGGAUUUCCUGGCAUUUGAUCUGGGGGCAUCACGACUCUUAGAUAGUUUUUUGCUAGCGCGAGGGGCACAAUCAAAAUUUUCGGUGAAAUCCGCAGCAGAACCAAUUGUAUUGUUGCUCAACACAGGUGCAAAGUUCACAUCAGAGUAUGUACGGUUUAGCGUGCAACUAUUAGGCGAAAAAGUUGUGUCUUUGCUAAACUGAUGCUGGCUUUGCUCACCAGGAAAGGGGCUUCCUGCUCUCUUUCUCCAAGGAGAGCAGUCACUUUUCUCACUAGCUUGAGCUUCAUCACAUGCAUUCUCUGUGCUCCCACUUUUUUCAGGAGAAGAAAUUGGAUUUCCAGACAAAUUCAUUACCUUUCUACCACAGUUUCCCUCCACACGACAGUUAUCUAAAUAUGUUUGAUCACUCUCAACCAAAAAGUCCUGAGACACAUGCUUCUUGUUCAACUUCUUUACAACACCAGUGCGUUUGGAGCAAGCCCAUCCUCUUAAAGCUCCAGCAUUACAGGAAUUGAGCUGCUCUUCCAUUUGCUGUCCUUCCUCGGAAUUUUCUUUCGCUUCACAUGUUUCUUGACCCCCAUGAAUCUGUUUAAAAACAAUUCCACCGCAUGUUAAUUUUGAAAAACCACCACAUUUGCAACAUAGCGGAUUAUUAACCUUUCAAUUCAAUGGAAAAAGCAGUGUUAGCACCAACGAAAGCAUUGGGAUUCAAGCAUAUUGAGAGCUUCUUUAUUCGUUUUCCUUCUGUUGCAUCGGAAGCGCAUGUUGUUUAUAAGGUGGUGAGACCUAUGCAGAAAGUAAGUAAAUACAGAAAGCAAGAGUGGCGUACCUGAGAAGAAUGAGCCUUAGGAGAGAGAAGAUCUUUGCUUUGAGGAGCAAGUUUAAGGUACUUCUGAUGUUUAGAUGGAUGGCGCUUUUGCUUUUUCGCUGAAAGGAAUUUGCUUCCUUUGCCGGGUUUCAAAGGUUUUCUUGGUCGAAGAUGCUCUACCUCUUUAGGCACUGAUGGAGAUGGUGCAUCAUCAAACUUCGAUAAAAUCCUAACUUUCGUGCCAUUGGCGUCUACAUAGACUGGACCGACAUCAAUAUCAUCAGGAUGGACUGAGGAUACUCUUCGCCUUUUCUCUUCAACCGGCACCUCAGACUUCUUAUCCCGAGUAGGAAAGCUUGAAACGCUCGUGGCCCAGCUCGAGCCAUUUCUUCUAUCGAGAUCUUCUAAUGUGCAAUGCUGGGCAGUAGUAUAUAUAUCCACCAUCAAUUUGGUCUUCCUCGGCUUAAUUCUGUACCUUGUAACCGGUUUUGAAUCCACAGCCCACUUGGGAGUUGCCUCCCCAGAAAGGCACUGAUCAAUAUGAGCAUUCAAGGUGGUAUUAGAAGAUGAUGAGAAGGUUUUGCAAACAGGGCAAGUUUUUGAAGUCAUUGUUUCUGAAAUGGUAGUAGCAUUCGACGCAAUAUCUUCGGUUGAUCCUCUCUCUGAGUGGCUACCGAAUUUCACCACCAAUCUGCACUUCUUACCCGAGGGUCGCGUCGUGUUUCCGGUCUUGUUAACAACAACAACGGGGGGACCUGCAGCUUCAAGUACUUCAACUGAUGCAGCUUCCAAGGAAGUAUCAAUUUCUAACGGCAACCUCGACGGCCUGUUCGUAGGAACUGACUCUUCUAUUUCAGAUUGAGAAACACUCGUAAGUGUGGAUGGAAAAUCAUUUUCUCCUUCAGACCUGCAUGAAGUGGUUGUUGUAGUCUCUGUGCAAGCUUCUGUUAGCUUUUCCUUCAACUUGGUAUCGUUUGACGAAGACUUUAAUACUGCAUGAUCAUCUUGCCCGGAAGAUUCUGAAACAUCAAGAUUGCUUUUCUUUUCACUUUCAACCGUACAUCUCUUGACGGGUUGGUUUCUAACUGCAUCAAGCUUCUGAAAUGGCGGCAACAGAUCGUUCACGCCAUGUUUCAAGCAAAGUUGCAAAUUCUUCUGAGAAAAAGGCCAGUUGGUCUCGAUAUCUUUGCUCCGGGAUGUAAAAACAUAAUCUCUGCGCAACGUAAAAACAUCAUAUACGUCUGAUUCUUCACACAAAUGGUCAAUUCCAAUGAGCUAAGCUUAGCCACCUUUAGACUAGGUCCAAAGAGAACUCAAACUUUAUUGUAUGAAAAUUGCUAAUCAAAGAAGGGAAUAUAUACAUGGACCAUGGAACUAAAAAGGAAAAAGAAAAUACACAAACAGUAGAGUAAUAUCCAUGUGAUGUCUGCAGAAAUGGUCUUAGGGAUUCAUUAAAACUCGGGCGUCACCAUUUCAUGUAAGUCUCUCUCUUCUAAAUAACACCGUCUGAGAGACUAAUUAAAACUCAUGGGAAAUUAAGGUAGGGUGACAUGAAAUCACAAGCAACAAUUAACAUUGAGUUGGGUGGAUUAUCAGCAUGGAUUAGGGAAAUUAAUCACAUGAAGAAACGUGUGGUUUUCAGGGGGAUUAAGAGCCGUGAACGACUUUCUUUUUUUUGGGUGACAAGCCGUGAACGAGUUUCGUUUAUUAGCCAAAGCAGGGAAAAAAAAGCCCCAACACACUAAAAAUAGAGACAAAGAUGGGGUGGUCAUGACUCAAGGCCCCCCAUAUGUUGGAUGAGCCACAAGCAACAACAACACGCAUAUUUGCAUCUCUCUCUGGAUCUGACUCGACAAGCUCUAAGAUGAUAUGAGAUAAGCUUUGAGAUCACACAAGAAAAGAGAGAAGCGGUUAGAACCCCAUGUAAGAAAAACAAAAACCCAAGUUAGGAUCAUCAUUAACUGUUCAUAUUUUCAUUUCUACAGAGAGAGAGAGAGAGAGAGAGAGAGAUUAUACCUGAUGGAGAAUUUAGGAAGGGGUGGAUUAUUAGAUAGAUCUAGUGGCUGCUCAUGACUAGUACUAGCAUCUUUGAUGAUCAAAGGCUGGGGAUGAUGACAUGGGGGAUCUGGUGGAAGUUUUUCAAAAGAUAACAUCUGAUGGAAAGCUGCUUCUUCUUCUCUCUUCUACUUGUGCUGUUUUCCCAACAGUCACAAGCUCUAGUAAUAUCUUCUCUACCUCCACACCUUAUCUUGAACUUAGAUUUCAGCAUAUAUAAUGACCCUUUCUCUCUCUAAGUCUCUUUCUCGCUCUAGAACUAUUACUGUUCACUCCAAGCAGCACCAGAAACACUAGCAGAAAGCAGCAGAGAUGAAAAAUCAAACAACCCCACUGGAAUCUUCAUCCAUAACAUCAAUCUGCAAUUGAGAGAAAUGAAAAGGAGCAUGAGAUCAUGGGGUUUUGGGGAAAGAUCCCAGACUUUGAACAAGGUGGAAGAUUAUUAUUAGUAAUACUCCAGACCCUUCCAGAAACGUUAUUUUAUGUGAUGGGAAUGAGUGAAAUUAAAGCAUUUGAAAUAUUUUUUUCAAAAGAAAAAUCAAAACAAGAAGGAACCCAAUUGAGCAAGCAAAGAACAAAAUAGGCAAAUAACAAAACUCAACAAGCAAAGAUAUUCAAUUUUGUUGGAGUCUAAAAGUUCUUGGGAGUGAUAUUUUAUGUGGAAAUAUUUCUCAAAUUUUGAGACUUUAGAAUCAACAAUCCACUUGCUAUCAUAGUUGAACAACCAAUCCAAUCUCCUUAGAGCAAAAUCACAAAAGAUUUGAAGUUUGCAAAAGCAAGAGAUCAUGAUUCAUGAGCUCCCCAAAAGAAGAAUUUUUUUAGACAAGAAAUUAAUCCCACAAAACCCCAACAAGUAGAGUGAGUAAGAGAAGGAGGUUUACAAAAAAGUCCAAAUCUUUGAGCAUGCCAAACAAAAUCUAGUUUAAAUCCCAACACAUCUGAGAAAACAAAAUCUAGUUUAAAUCCCACAACCAGAUUCUGAUCUUGUUUCCAUUUGUGCAAGCAAGAACAUACUGAGUGGUCAAAGAAAACACGAAAAAAAGAUGCAGUUUUUGAGGAAGAGAAAACAAACCCAAGAUCAAAGAAAUCGCAGCGCUGAUGGGAUUAUUUGGUUUUGAAGCCUCUUUUUUCUGGGUUGGUUCCGACUGAGAAAUGAGAAAGAAAAGAUGAAGUCUUUGAAGACUACUAUGCAACUCUAGAGGGAGAAAGAGGAAGAGAGAGAGAGAGAGAAGUGAGAAAAACAGGACCACCCACUCACACAUCAAAAAGGGCAUCAGGUUCUCUUUCUCUCCAUAAAGCGGGUUUGUACCAUAUUAAACACCCCCGAUUCACCUCCCAUCUGUGAAUAUGCGUUAAAGAGAGUUUUGAAGAGAGAGAAAGAGAUACAGAUAGAGAGAGAAAGAGAAAGUAGGAGAGAGAGAGAGGAAGUGUGUGGUGGUUUUUCGUCUUGUAAAAUAAACAAAGGAAAUACAAUACAAAGCUGUCCUAUCCUGUACCUACCCUACACCCUCAUAUGUCAUAUUUUAUCAACUUUUCUUUUCUUCUCAAUUUUGUAAUCCUUGAUUUUUAUCGUGGUCAUUGCCCCUCUCAAUUGUCUGUUUUGCUCUCUUUCUUUCUCUUUAAUUUCAAUCUCACACGGCCCAUGUUGUCCCACUACACGACAAUCUCACCCUGUUGACAAUUAUAGACACCAUGGAAAUAUCACACUUUUACCCCCCCCCCCCCAUCCCCCAUCCCCCCAUCCCACCCCCACACUUCACUCUCCUGUAUGUAGAGAAAUUUUUUAUUCGGACAGAAAUACGAAUGGUACAUUACGUGUUUUUAUAUAACUGACGAUUUAAGUUAUUAAUUUUUUAACACAUAUAUCCCAUCAUUUGUAUAAUGACAUGUGAUGUACCACCUCAUGUGACGGUCACGCUGAAAAAUCUUUUUUUUUUUAAUGUUAGUAUACAAAAGUAAGAGGAGUUUUUUUUCAUAUUGCUAUUAUUUUUCAAAUAGAGCAGAUUAUCUGCCUUCUAAUUUCCUGUGUCCUUCUGUGUCCUUUUGUUUUGUGUGAUCAUGGUUAAGUCAUGUCAAUAUUUUAUAUUAUUUUUUAAUAAAGAUAAUAAGAUAAAAAAAUAGUAAUAUAAAAUGUUGAUGUGACUUAACUCUGAUCACACAAACAGACAUAAGAGAAGUGGGAGAGCCGAGAAUGUGACUCAUUUUCAAAUAGUUUGAUAUGUUAUGUUAUAUAUUAUUUUAUCGGCCAAUGUAAUUGUUAACUAGUUUAAUGGAUUUGUGUCAUUCGUUAGGCAUGUAUCUCGUUGAAUACAGUUUGAUAUGUUAUCUUAUCAACCAAUUUAGCUUUUAAGAUGAACUAAGAGCAACGACAGUUUAAUAUGUUAUCUUAUCAACCAAUCUAGCCUUUAAGAUGAACUAAGAGUCUUAAAAGAAGAUGUAGGCAUAGAGGUGAGAAUCUUGGAGAUUCUCUAAUCACAUUCGUUCAUUGUAUAUCGUGCGAUCAAAUAUCAAUGUAAAUCUUUUUAUUUAAAAUUAAAUAUAAACAGGACAUGACGAAAACUGACCGUAAGAUAUACAAUAAACGGAUGUGGUUGAAGAUCUUGAGAUCUUCACAAAGAGGAUCCGGAGAGGAUCCUCAUUCGGCAUAAUGUCCUUUGUCUUGAGGUAAUACUUAUGUGAAAUGUUUGCCUACUCCUUGUGUUGUCAGUCGUAGAUGUCUAUUUAGUCUUUCAGGUUUGGUAAUACGUAUGUGAAUUGUUUGCCUAUUUCUUGUGUUGUCAGUCGUAGAUGUCUAUUCAGUCUUUCAAGUUUGGAUAAUGCUAUAGAGACUAAAUUUGGAGACAAAGUUUUGAAAACUAAAGGACAUGGAAUUGAUGAUUGAUUGAUUACUUAAACGUUAAUAAACGUGCUUAUUCCUAUUUGUGACACAUUGUUUAGUUUACAAAUUUAGUCUCCCUAACAUUACGCUUUGGGUUGUGUUAUUUAAGUUGUUCAACUUAUGCUACAAGCCUAAUGGAUUUAAUAUCAAUGGACCAAGAAACCAAAAAUUUGUUUUACCCAAGUCGACAUAUUCUUAACCUAGACAUUUGACAUCCCUGCAUUAACUGACUUAAUCACCUCUGUCGUUGUCUUAAAGGAUACUCUUGUUGGUGGGCGAUAUGUUAAAGAGUUCUAAUUAGCGAAGCAGGUGAGCGAUUAGAAGCUUUUUAUGAAUCAAUUGUGAAUUUAAACCCCUUUAAGUUUUCCCAUUUAUCGUGAACCAUUAUCUAUAAUCUUUAGGGUUUAUAUUAGGGUGUAAAUGAGACCUAGCAAUAUAUCACAAUUACGUAAACUAAGUAUUAUCAAAGAUGCAUCCUUUUGAACGACACUUAGAGAUGUAUCCUUUUGAACCUGACUAUAGUAUCAAAGAUCAACAACAUAUUAAUAAGACAACGAUGAUAUCUCAAAUUUAAAGAUCAAUUUACAUUAUUGCAACUUAGAGAUCUUAUUUAUCAUUCCAUAUGCCAUAUCUAAAUUGAUAAUGUUUAGUGUACUCAAUCUUCAUUGACCACUUACACAAUUCAUCUUAGUGUCCCCAAAACAAAUAACAUGAGACCAGUUAUCCUCCUAAUUAAGCAUAGCGUGUAUUUGUUCUUUAAGAAAUCAUAUGACUAGCACAGUUUAAGUUCUAAGCUCAACGAAGGAAAUGUAUCCAUAAUCGAACUUCUUUAGAUUAUUUUCUUUCUAUUUCUUAUUCUUUGGACUUGUUUAAGGAAAUCACUAUGAGUAGUAUUGUUAUUGUAAGCAACAUAUUUGCCCCUUGAUAUGAUUCAGAUAAGUAAGUAUAUGAAAUAUUCAUAAAAAAAUCAUCACACGACUGAUUUGUAUGACAUAUUUAUAAAAAAAAUAAAAUAAACACUAUCAACGAGUCUAAAAUAUCAAUUAGUUCAAUGCAUUUUCAUUAUUCGCCAGUUAUUACUCGCGGUUUUAUAUGCACCUUAUCAAAACAAUCUAAUCUCAAUAUGUUCCAUUAUUAUUUACGUUUCUGAAGUCAUUCGCUAGUUACUAUUUGGUUGCAUAGGAAGAUUUCAAACCCUAAAUCAAGCAUGCUCGAUCACACUCGUCACCCUACACCCACCCUCACUAGUGGGUAACCCCUUGUAGCUUCAAAUCAACAUUAAACUACCAGAUAAUCUAUCAAUGUCAAAAUUAAGCGUGCAUUUAAUAAGAUCUUAUAUUAUCCACAAAAUCAAGCCCAUCAUAUUUGAAUCUAUAGUCCUCAUGUAUAAUCCAAAAAUAUAACAUUCCAAUCUAGAUAGUCCUAAUGCAUCAACGUGCUUAUUACCUUAUAAUAUUGUAACUUGUUACUUAUCUUUUUGGUUGGAUUCUUGUUAUCAUUAGAAAAAUAUAGGGCAAUAUACCAUAUAAGCCUGCGGGGUUCCCUGCUCUUGUUCUGCUUUGGUGUGGUCUACUCAUUGAAUACGAACAUCUUUGACCCAAAAAAAAAAAAAGAAUACGAACAUGCUCAUAGUCUAUUUUAACAUCUUCUUUUGCGCAAUUAUUUUAACAUUAUUUUUUUAUCGCUUAUGUAUUAUAUGUUUACACAAUUAUUGUCCUUUUUUCACCACACGUAUUCUCCUGUCCCUAUGGUUGUCAACUUUAAAACUUACAAAGCAUAAGUAUGCUGAGUAACUACUGAGCUAAUUAUGUCUUUCUUAUGAAUACAGGCGUGCCAACUCGCAAUCAAACUCGGUUGGGCAAAUAGAAUAAAUGUGGUGGUGUGGUGUCGAACGAGUUGCUGACUUCUACACCUAAGCGACUAUGGUCGAGGAAGGAAUGUCUGUCGGCCUAGGGUUCUUGAACCUAAAAACAAGGUCACUUAAUUCACUGCAAAGUUCAUCUUCUGCAUCAAGUUUGGCAGCUUCAACUAUAUUUGUGAGAAUAUAAGUGUGCCAAAUCGAUAUCAGGUUGUAGGUACAAAGAUACUCAAAGGAAAUGGGUGCCUUUAUGGUGCAUGUUGUUUGUCCGUCUGAAUGUCAAACUCUGAAGUGCAUAUGAGAUUAACCAAUCAUAGAACACCUCAAUUCAUUGGGGAGCUAAUGAAGUGACCUCAUUUAGCGUAAGAAUUGUAAACUCAUUGUUGGCUAAGUCUUGGAUAGAUAACCAAUCAACUAGAAGCAAUCAUGUUUAUCCAAAUUGAAGAUGCUCCUAAAUUGCAGGUGUGUUGAUGAAAUGGUUAGGAUAAUUAAUACUUCUUUCAUCUAAUAGCUUAAAAGUAUAUGGACUGAGUGUAUGCAAAUGGGUCCAAACAGUAAGAAAAGAAAAGAAAAAAAUUAACACUAUGCAUUAUGUAAAAAUUAUUGUGUACAAUCACUAACGGUUAAUCGUAAGUUAAAUCUAAUGCACACUUUAACAGAAUUAUAUGAGCAUCUGCAAUGGAGAUGGUUUAAAAAAAAAAUCAAAUGUAAAUUUGAUUUUCAAAUUUGAUUUUCUUUUCCAACUCAUAUGUUUUUUUUUCUUAUUCAAUUAAUAUUUGUAGGACCCACUCUUCAAAACAAAUAAAUAAAAACUAAUUUUCAUGUUUUAUAAUUGGUGCAUUACUAGAACCCACACAAGAAAACAUUUCAAAAAUAAUUGGCAUCAGAUUUUAUCCAAUGUCAAAUUUGGCAUCACAUAAUAGGUAUGUCAAUCUACGUAGAAUUGACAUAUCGAUUAGAACUUAUAUCUACCUUCAAAUUUAUUACAUGACAUUCUAAUUAAAAUUUGACAUUUUCUUUUAAAAUAGUUUAAUAUUUUAUAUGAAAAUAAAGAGAAAAAUCGGAAAAGGAUAUUUGGAAUCUCGUAAUUAUGUUCAUUCAUCGUACAUCGUACGGUAAAAAAUCAUUUAAAUUUUAAAAUUUAAAAUUCAAAUAUAAAUGACAUCUAAUGAAAACUGACCGUAUCAUGUACAAUGAAUAAACACGAUUACAAAAUCCUAAAAAAAGAAUAUGGAGAUGAUCAUUUUCCAGAAAAAUCUGCGCUAGUUACGUUUUUGGAUGUGAAUGACCUCGAAAUUCUUCCACCACUUGAAAAGUGAUCAAUUUCUUUAUCUCUUCCCAAAAAACAAAAAGGUUAGAAAAUAAAUUAACUACUAGUCCAGUUUAAGAAUUUUCUCAAAACUGACGAGAGAAUCUUUUUUCAAUACGUACAAUAUUAUUUACAAUAGAAAUAGACAGUGGACUAAGUUUUAUAAUAAGUUAGUGAUAAUAAUUUUAUUUGAAGUUAUCCACGAUGAUAAUUGAAUCUAAGAUAUUUGUCUUACAAUAAGGGAAAUAUAUAUAUAUAUAUAUAUAACACGACCCUAAUAAUAAGUAUCAAGAAAAGGAUUAACUCAAGGAAAAAGUUAGAGAGACUAUUUUUUGGACCAUAUUUUGCAUACCGCAUAAUGUGACUGUUGAUGGUUAAACUUCUUUUUAGUGAUAUAAAAAAAGAAUUCAACCAACACUCAUCACAUCAUACUGUUUACAAAAUAUAGUCUAAAAAGAUUGUCCUUCUAGCAUCACUCUUAACCCAACUAUACAUAUGCGCCAGUGUAUAAAUAAUUGAUGUUGCUGAUAUUUUACAGACUUAGGUUUUGUUACUUAUUAAUAAACGUGUUACAGGAGGGAACUGGUACCGACCUCAAACAUGAUCAACUGCUAAAUUUGUGAAAUAAUGGUUUUUGAGCUUUCUUUUCUCAUCUUAUUAUCAACCAAUGUUCUUCUAUCUUCUCAAACUCUCAUCCCACAAUUCCAACGCUCUUUUAUUAUUACUUGAAAAGCAAUAUUUUUUUUUUUGAAACAGAAAAAGCAAUAAAUUAUUAAUCUCAAGGAACAACUGUGUGCUCUUUUUUGUGCUCCUAUUGGCUUAAGGAUUCGACAUUUUGAACGUUUUCUUUUAACUCUUUCAUCCCCAAAGGGCCCAAGGCUUCGUGUUUUUUGCGGUGUUGCCUUUCAUUGUAUACUUAAUGAUUAAUGAUUUUUGGGAAAAUUUGAAAUAAGUCAAAUUUUAUAAGCCUACUUUUAAAAUAGGUUUAAUUUUUAAUGAUUUUUUAUUUUUAAAAUAAGUCUAAUUUUUAAUUACUUUAGACCCAUAUAAAAAUAUCUUUUUUUUAAACCAAUAGAAAUCUCAAGCUUUUUAAAUUGUUUAAAGUAAGUUUAGAAUGGUGACAAAAAAACAUGCAGACAAAAACCUAGUUAAUAACUUUUACCACUAUUACAUCACUGUCAUCUGCAUUUUCUUUCAAUGUUUAUAAUCUAGCCCUUCAAAAUCCCAUGUGUAUGACCAAAAUGAACAAGCAUGCCGCACAAUGUGUGGGUGGAGUGCUAUGUCUGCUAUGUCACUCCAGGGAUGAUAUUAAUUAGGGGCCAUGCUAGAGAGAUUGUUUAGUUGGAAAAAAAAAAAUUACAUCGAACACGGUUCAGUACAUCAAGUGUCAUAAUACAAGUGGUUGGAUACAUACUAAUCAUUUAUAUUAUUAAGGAAAGCCAAUGAAAAGUGUUCGAAAACUUUAAGUUUUAAACAAAAGAACAAAAUAAGGGUGUAAGUAAAUAGUACUAGAAGUGACUUUUUAAACUAAGAAUGUCUUUAACAUUAAAAGUGAACAGUGUCAUGAGUGUUUUGUUAAGACUCUCUUAAAUUAUGGUACUUGGUGUACUGGGCCAUUUGAUACAUUGAAAAAUCUCUCGUUCAAUCAUUUUAUAGAUUAUAUGACAUAAAAGUUGAUAAUUGAUGGUUGAAUACUUUAAAUCAUCGGAGAAAAAAUCUAACCAUAUUUUGUAGUCUACAAAAUAUGAUAUAAAACAUGAUUUUCUUGGUAUUGUAGCACAUUUAACAUGUUUCCCUUUUCGUCUCUAGCCUUUGGUUUUCUAAAAAUUACCGGUAUAUAUGUAUCGACUUGUAAACGUUUAUAUCGUGGACAACAAAUUAAAGAACAUUUCAAUAUUUGUAUAGACGACGAUAUUCCAUGAAUCACGUUGUACCCGACGUGGGCCAGAAAUUAAUGGAAAAGGUUAACAAAUAAUUUUCUUGAAUGAUCUUCCCGUUAGUUCGAAGAGUUAUUUUGCAGCUGAAACUCUGGCAAGCACUAUCCUACGAUCGAGCUAAGUAUCGCCGUCGGUGUCGAGUUGCUUUCAUGCAUGUUUUGCAUGGUUGCACCCAUGUUUGUAGAAAAUUUGAAAAAACAUCGUGAUAAAUACAAAUUUUAUAAAAACUAAUCAUACGCCUACAUGUUAGUUAUGCGUGGAAUUAAAUUCCUUUAUUAUUUGUUAUAAAAAUAUUUAUAUAACUUGUUUUCAGUAACUCUAGAGUCAAAAGCACUCCUCGACAUUUUACGUACCCAAAGAAAAAGAACACUCCUUCGCAACCCCAAUCUAAAGAUUUUUCUUUAUUUAUAUCUAUUAUUAUUAAGGGAAGCCGGAUAUGACAGUUCAAAAGUAUUACAAUAAUUUAGGAGAGUGAGGAAUUUCGAACCUAGAAUGAAUAGGUGAAAACCCAACACGUUAUCUAUUAGAAUAUUAGAUCACAACCGCAAUCCAAAAAUAAUAAGCAUUAGAAUCCAACUUAUAAUUCUUGCAUGUCCGUGAUCUAUCAACUACAACUCACAAAUGGUUGCCUAGGUUAGUCACUUUUUAUAUUCGCUAAAGAUAAAUAGUAAAACUUAGAUUUGUUUUUAUUUAUAAAUUUAUUACUGUUAAGUGGACAAUGAUGCUUUGAAAUUAUUACAAUAAUUUAGGAGAAGUGAAGUUUCGAACCUGAGACGCACGAGUGGAAAUUCAAUCUACUAGGAUAUUAAACGACAUCCAUAGUCACUUGGAUGUUAUUCAAACAAUAUGUGAAAAUACAAACCAGAGGAUUCUAGGAGCUUAGGACUUAUAAAAACUCUUAUUACUUGACCCAAAAAACGUCUUUGUUUUCAAUUAAUUUGUUGCACACACAAGCGUUUGCAUCAAGUUAGGUGGAAGAGGCAUUGCAAUUUGCAACUAGAUAGGACCAAAAUUAAAGACCAACUCAUUUAAUUAUUACUUUGUUUAGAUAUCUGUUAUUUUCAAUAUUUGGCUUUAUAUUCGGUGAUUUCACCCAGACUUUGUGAAAUAGAGUAAUCUUGUUAGCUAAAAGCUGGCUAGCUCCUCCUACCCAAUUGCUCGAAGGCUUUUUCCCCCAAUAGGGAAAGCAAUUAUGCUAGAAAAUGGUCAUACGGUGGAGAAAUUUUUUAUUGUGACGGGAACACAAAUGAUAUAUCACGUGUUUUAAUAGAAGUAGUGAGAAAAUUUUAUUUUUUAAGUUAUUAAUUUUUUAGCACACAUAUCACACAAUUUGUAUAAUAACACGUGAUGUAUCACCCCGUGUACCGAUCACACUGAAAAAUCUCUCCAUACGGUGAGUCCUUCGUAAAGUCGAGCUGGGUGGUUUUUGAGGCUGAGCCAAAUAUUUAGGUCAGAUGGUUGUUAAGCUUUGUCUUUGUUAUGUUUUUAAUUUCACUUCAAAUGAAAAGGUUCUUGUCAAUGCCUUUUUUAAACAUCAAGUUGCACGAAACCAUCACUUCUAGGAGAAAAAUUUACAGGCAUUUGUUGCAUGUGAUCUGCGUAGUGUAUUACAACAUCAUACGAGUAGCAAAAGACUUAAAUGUGUAACACAUGUUGCUAACGAUCUGUGCAUGCAAGUUUCUCUUCGUUUUCACAUUUACCUUCUUAUUAUUCCUUUAAGAUUGAGGGUUAAUUAAAAUUAGUUGAAUCUACCUUCUUAUUAUUUCUUAAACUCAAACCCUAAUUCAGCAGCAGUACGAGGAUGGGGGAAAAUGAGAGCAGGUGGCUUCGGUUCGGAUAAGUGAUGGAGGAAGUCAAAUUGCAGAGACGCAUGAUUAACGGUUUAGGGGUUUAAUUAUCGGCUUAAAACCGAGAGAAUGCAAAUGUGAAGUUAGCUUUAAUAAUAUAGUUAAGUUAAAAAAUUUUGCUAAAAUCUCUCUUUAUUUAUUUAGAUUUAGCCAGUUAUAUUGUUCAUCAAGUUGAUAAGCUACGAACAUUUGAAGCUUGAUUCUGGAGAUUUAUAUGUUAAUUAAAAUAUUAUACAGCUUUGCUUUUGAGUUUUGCAAAUAACAAUCACAAGGGAUAGAUUUCAAUUCAUCUUUGAUAGGGUUGAUUGAGGGUAGAUUCAAUUUGUUUAAUAUUCAACAAAGAGUAAGGCUAAGUAAACCAACUUUUUAGAUCAAAAAUUUGUAAAUCAUAUGAUAGGUAACUAAUAUGAAAUAAGCACGUUAAUCAAUACUCAAAUAAUAAUUCAAUUAUUGACAACCAUCUCCUAUAAAUGGGUAUAUUUAAAAUGCUUAAAAUAUUUUCCCACCGAUUCACAGUAGAUUUGUUGUCCUAUAUAAUUGAAGGCAUUUUUGCUUCAUCAGCUUUGCACCUGAAAACUUUGGUACAAUAUAUUUCCAUAUAUAGUAUGUAUUACACUUAUAGCUAAGCUAUAGGUUGGCAUUUGUUGUCGACAGAAUUGGUUGCUAACCAAGUUCGCAAAGUCACAGUUAGGUCGGCGGCAGGGCCGGCCUAAAGAUUUUUGAGAUCCAGGGCGACAUUAAAAAAUGUGCUUUCAUUUUAAUUAUAUAAGAAAAAUAUUUGUUUUCACACGUAAAAUAUCGAUAAAAUUAUAAUUAGAAAAGCACUUCAAACUUAAUAAUUUAGAAACACAGAAAAACUAAUUUAUUUUGUAUCGUGAGAAGGAAACAAAAAAAAUUCCGGGUUUACAAGUAGAUAGAUAUGAGUUUUGUUUUCCAUCUGAACUUUUGAAGUGUUUUUGUAUAAAUCGUGCAGUUUUUUUUUCAUAUUUACUAACCUUGUCAAUAUGGUACUAAAAAAAUAAUGAUGUUUUUGAGUCUUUAAUUGAUAUGUAUAAGUAAUAAAUGGGUACUAAAUUAAACUUUUUGAUGACACGUCAUAUGAUUUGCAAAUUUGGUUUAAAAAUUUGGUCAACGCAUUACUCUUCAUUGAAGAUUAGACUUGAAUUGGAACAAAUGUUUAAAAAUAACAAGCCACAUAGCUACUAGCUACAUUAAAAAUAAAUUAACAACACAAAAAUUCAUAAAAAUUGAAAAGAAUAAACAUGCACUUAGCAUUUCAAACUUAGGACCACUCGUUAAUUUUAAACAACAAAAACCAUUGAUUCUAAUUGAACUUUUUGAUCAUUUAGCCAAAUUUUAUAUAUUUAUACUCUUGUGAAAAGAAAUUUGUAAAAAUUGAAAAGUAAAUAAGCACACAUGGUGUUUUGAACCCAAUACCUCCUCAUUAAUUUCAAACAAACUACUAAUUAAAAAUAAAUUAACAACACAACAAAAAUUCGUAAAAAUUGAAAAGAAUAAACAUGCACUUAGCAUUUCAACCUUAGGACCACUCGUUAAUUUUAAACAACAAAAACCAUUGAUUCUAAUUGAACUUUUUGAUCAUUUAGCCAAAUUUUAUAUAUUUAUACUCUUAUGAAAAGAAAUUUGUAAAAAUUGAAAAGUAAAUAAGCACGCAUGGUGUUUUGAACCCAAGAUCUCCUCAUUAAUUUGAAACAACAAAAUCAUCAAUUCUAGUUAAAUUUCUUUGUCAUUAAACCAACUUUUAUAAAUUUAUACUAUUAUGAAAACAUAUAUAAAUAUAUUACUCUAAUAAUUUUGGUGCUCCCAAUUACUUUGGGCUCCGAACGGUCAACCUGCCAGACUGGACCUGGACCGGCCCUGGUCAGCCGGCCCGUAAUCCAUUUCGGUGAUGUCGGCUAGGUAACCCUACUGCAAGAAUGGAAGAUGUAAGAAUUACGAAGAAAAUAAAUUAGCAAGAACCACACUGUAUAAUUAUUUGUACCGUUGAAUUAAUAGAGUAUAAAAAAUUAUCGAACAAAAAAAAAACAUAGUGUGUACAAUCAUUUCCAAUAAAUGUAAAGGCAAUUUUAUAUCAAUAUUUCAAACCCUCACACAUGCUACGAUUGGUUAUAAACUGCAGCACAACAUGGAAAUCAUGAUAGAAAUUAGAAAAAUAAAUUGCAGUUAUGAUUCAUUAACUUUAAUUCAAUUGAAGUACUGGUCUUUCAAUUAAAAAUCUAUUACCAUUGAUCUCUCAACUCAUCAAAACGUGCAGCUAUGAUCCCUCAACUAAAAAUUCAUUACCAUUGGUCCCUCAACUUUAAUUUAACUGGAGAAAUAGUCAUGGUCAUUCCAACAUAAUUCGUUUUGACAAUUUUUUUGAUGUAGUUGACGAAAAUGACUAUAAUUACAUACUUUGAUGAGUUAAGGGACCUUAAUUAUAUAAAAUGAAAACUAAUGAAAAUGACUUGAAAACUUUGAGUUUUAAUGAUAAGGACAAAUUAAAUGGUAAAGUAAAUAGUAUCAUGAUUGACUUUUUAGUGUAAAAAUGUGGUUUUUUGUUAAAGUGAACAUUACCGAGUGCUUUUCAUAAAAGUUCCUUUAUAUAAAUGAUUAUUCCAACAUAACUUAUUUUGACAAAAUUUUGACGAAAUUGAUGAAAAUGACUAUAGCUACACAAUAAGUUGAGGGAACAAAGGUAAUGAAUUUUUAGUUAAGGGAUCAUUGCUCCAAUUUGAUUAAAGUUGAGAGAUCAUUGUUACAAUUUACUCAAAUUUGAAAGGAAUAGACGCAACUAUUUAAUAUAAUAUUAGGUCUGCCCAAUUAGAUGUUUCUCUACCCUACCAAUGGGAAUGGCAAUGCUAUAUAUAUUAUAACUUUAUAAACCUGUUUUUGCAUGAUUAAAUUUAAAUUGUAGAUGGAGAUGAAAAUAAUUAGUGAUAUUAAUAUUUACUGAGUACUACAUCAUUUUAAACAUGAUCAUUCUAUUUAGUAGUUGAUCUGUGGUCGAGAACUUAUUAUAUAACAUGUUAUUUUCCUUAAAAGGGAUAAGUGGGAUGACUUCGUCACUGUAGUCUACUUUUUUGGAAGGUCGAGAGGAUUUACAAAGACAUUUCAGCCUCAUUUGCUACUAUCGUUUGAUUUACUAGCGUCAUGAGUCGAACUCAGGACAUACCAUGUAAAAUACUGAUCUAAAAUUUGUCCCUAACUACUGGACCACAUGAUGGUGGUUGAUUAUUUAACAUGUUAAACACUCCAACAUGGAAAAAUUGAUUAUAUGUGGUUGGUAAGGACGACUUCUAUAAUGAUUGUAGAUGAUUGUAGAAGAUUAUAGGCUCUCAAAAAUAGAUGCUUACAAGGGCGAUUAUAUAAUUUGGAUCUCUUUAUCCUUGUUUCUCUGUUAAUAGAUACUUAAAAGGAUGUCACAUGUUUUUUUUAUUUGAAACAAACGAUAUUAUAUCCACUAAAGAGGUGGAAGAGUGGGUUAAACCUCACAGUUGCUAAUAAUAAUGUGGUUUAAAUUCGUCUUUAGUGAAAAUUGAACCUAAGACCCCUUAUUUACAAAUGAAGAGUAAUAUCAUUAAACCGUAGUUUUAGAUGAUAGGAUGUCAUAUGUUAUGCAUGCACACACAUUAAAAAGUAAUAUGUAUAGAAAGGAAGUGAGACGUGUGAAAUUAGUUGAUUUAACAUAUUUCCUUACAAUUACCAUGCUAUAUUCGUAGCUGUUAAAUUUACUAGCUAAAAGCGUUAAAAAGAGUGAAUGACCUAGUUCAUAUUGUAUUUAGACCGAGGUUAGCAACGAUAAUCGUCUCAAAUAAUUGUAUAGAUAUAGAUAUUAGUGCGCUUGAAGUUAGAUUUGCAGUUGUAAUAGUAAGGGUGACAAAUUUAAACACAACUCAUAAACUCGAAUCAUGAGCACACAAAACUUAUGCAAGUAAAAAUGGGUCAACCAACCGAGACACAACUAAUAAACGGGUGGGUUUUAGGAUAACUUGCGAAUGUGUGUAGUACCUACUCAGCAUUUUUAAUAAACAAGUCAUCUCAAACAUGCUAAAUUUUGUAGCUUGCAUAACGCGACCUGAUGAUAAAUAUGAAAAUGUAAUCGAUUGAAUAUCUACAUGAUUAAAUAGGCUAGGGUAACAGAGUUUGAGUAUGCUAAAUGGUUUAAACAGGUUAAAUGUGUUUAACAAGUUAACCUAAUUAACAAAUCAACCCAAUUUAUUUAAUAAACGGGUUGCGCAAAUCGUGUCAUGGUAUUAAUUUAAUAAAACGGUCGCGUUGGAUUUACCAGUUUGUCCCGAUCAACACGUCGACUUGACCGACUUGAUCCGAUCCGACCCAUUGCCACAGAAUGGUCUCAGAUACAAUCUGACGCCAUUACAUAUUUACUGUUUUACAGUAAGACAACAAAUGACAAUGGAGUAAACUCCACGAAAUCAAAAUAAAACCGCGAAAGCGAUGGAAAGGUUUAGAUGUCUGGUGUUAAUCUAAUCAAGUGGAUCCCACAACAACGCAACACACGCAGAAGAGUUCUAAUUAUAUUUUGGUGUAUUUUUCUCACUAUCCUAUUUAUCAUUAUUAAAGGAGUCUAAAUUUUAAAUGUUAUAUAUCUAUUUACUAUAUAAAUUUUGAAAUUUAAACUUACUCGGUCCAGCUUCACAUGGGCCAACAAACCUAAAUAACAUACCACUUUUACGGCACUUCUGGAGGCUGAGCAAAUUUCCCAACCUCGGGAUGCUGAAAGGACGAGUUUCCGAUCAGUUUAACAGCUGGUCAAAGUGUAGACGGUGGAGAAUCGACAAGCAUUGUUGUGGGAUUUGAAGGUGCAGACGGGCUUGACAAGGGUGGAAUCUAGGGCGCAGCGGAUUUCGCCCUCCUCGAGCUGCUGGAAGAAGUGGAUCCAAGAGUUGCAGGAGCAGUGUCACGUUUCUGCACAAUCAUAGUCCAAUGGCGUGCCAUGUCAUCAGUUAACUGAGUUGUUGACGGAAAGUAUGAAAAUGACACAAAACUCAAACUUUAGGUAUGAGAUUGGAAUGCAAAAAAAAAAAACUUGAUAUAUGAAAAUUGAAAAUCACGAUUGUGGGUGAAAAUCACGAUUGUGCAUCAACAACGAUAAUUCAAAGUAAUAAAAUGAGAAUUACCCUAUUCAUUAACAACUUAAGGGUUAAUCGUGGCCGUAGUUAACUAUCUAGCAUCCAGACGGGGUCUUUUAAAACACAAUGCUCGUAUGUAAUCCAAUGCAUUUCAUAUAUGGGAUAAUUAAUAAUAAUAAUAAUAAUAAUUCGUCACUAGCAAAAGUGGUCUCUUAACGUAGUGAUGCAAAAUUUUCUCCAGUCCAUGACCAGGAAGGAACUGUUGAAGCCACGCCUGGCAUUGCAAAGUUUGACAAGGACAUGCACAGUAUGCCCUCUUAUGAUCUUAUCCAUCUCCAACACCACAAAAAAUAACCUAUACCACUCUGCCCUCUUAUAAUUGGGAUAAUUCUAAAAUGAAUUAUGAGAAAGUGACAACAAAUUUACAACAUUUAAAAUGUCACAACAUACCAAUAUUCUUACUUGUGAUAAUUGGGUUAGUCCACGUCACUAGAGCAUCUUCGAUAGCCUGGUUAACCAUGUUACGUGACUAUUUUGAUUCAAAAUUUAUAAGCUCAGUGCUAUGACAAACCAACUAAAACAAGUAGGUCAUGUUUAAAGUAUUCAAGGUUAAUAAAAGUGGCAAUAUUUAUAGGAUAAUGUUCAAAAAUUAGAUGCGAAAAACUUACGAUUCAAGUGAUUAAAAACAUUUAUGUUUGUCUUGAGGUCUAACCACCCUGGUAUAAUGAUAUUGUCUUUUAUCAACUGAAAAAUCUUUCUAAAGCUAGCUAGUUUAAAAAGCUUUCAAUUCCUGUAGAUGGUAAACUUAUAAAUAAAAUAUAAAUACUGCAAGGAUUUUACCCAUUACAAAGUAAAAAUAAGUGGUACUAUUCACACAUUUAUUAUCUAUUUGAUUCAACGACUAAAAAUUAAAAGCAGUAAAAUAGCACCGCUCAUAAAAAUCUAGUUACAGCUGCUAUAAUUCGGAGGCAGAAUCUUUCCCCUCCCACUUUCCGUGUCCUCCUGUGCCCUAUUGUUUUGUGUGGUCACGGUUAAGUCACGUCAAUAUUAUAUAUAUAUAUAUAAAUAGUAAUAUAAAAUGUUAACGUGGCUUAACUGUGACCACACAAACAGGAAGGCGGCAUCGGAAGCGAGAGGGCAAAGAAUCUGCCUCCCUAUAAUUCCAAGAUAAAAAGAUAGAUGUGGAGCUGUGAGGAACAUUUUUAACUUUCUAGGGUUCCUGGUUGUGACCCAAGUUCAGUGCACCUAAUUGUCCUGUCGACCUAUUUGGAGAAGGAGUUGACCAUUCACACAUUUUAUUUUACUUUUCAUAUACCCUUUGAUAAUUUUUAUCUGUUUAUCUUCUUCAAUUCAUCCGAUCCGACGAUCGAAAAUUAAAAAAAUAUGUGAAAAGUAAAAUGGGAUGUGUAGAUAUCACAUCUCUUUAGAGAAAUAUAUCCAAAUUUAUUUUGAGUACAGUUAUAAUUUUUCUAUGUCAUCAUGCAUUAAUGAAUGAAGUUAUGAAGUUUUUUAUUGUAAUUGGCACCAGAAUAUUACAUCAUAUAUUUUUAUAUAAACGGUAAGAAUUUUUUAUUUUUUAAAUUAUUAACUUUUUAAUCUACGUAUCUCAUUAUUUAUAUAAUGAUACAUCAUCUUAUAUUCCAAUCACGUUGAAAAAUCUUUCUCAAAGACAUGGAGAAUCGAAGACCAUACCAUCUGACAUAACAGUGAAUUACAGAACAGCAUGUACUGUCUACCAAAUUGUCCGUACAAUGUUUGACUCCCACACAAAAUUCAUUUCCUUAAACAUAAUAGCCGUUCGCACUACCCGAACUUUGUUUUUGGGUUUCCGUUAAUUUGAGGUACAAUUUGGAGUUUUUAUUGGGAGGUAGCGGGAAUGAAAUUGAAAUGUAAUAAUAUUGAUUUAUAUAGAUGCAUUUAUACAUACUAGUCUUUAUGUAUGCAUGUGAUUUUUUGAAUUGCAGUGUGCUAUGCGUAAAUUACACAUUUUAAAUGUAUUUAUAUAUGAAAAUUGAUAAAAGAAAAGUUAUAUAUUUGAAGUAAAUGAAUAAUCUUAUAUCAUGCUAGCAGAAACUCCUCAUAAACUAAUUAAAGCAGUUAUAAGAAAAUCGGUUUUUAUAGAAUUUACAUUAAGAAUAAAGAAAAUAAUAUGUAAUAAACAACUGAUUGAAUCACGUUAUUGUUAACCCAUUGUGAGGCUAAGCCCACCCUCUCUAUUCUUUGUUAAAAAAAAAUCAUUUGACAACUAUUUUAAUCACAUUAUUAUCCGUCUGUGAAAGACCAUUUUUAUAACCGACAUUACACGCCUCUUAAGAUGUUUUGAACUUGUUUGAAAAUAGAGAAAAUAAUAUUUAAUGAAUAGCUAAUUAAAUCAUAUUAUUAUUAGCCUAUUGUAAAGUACUAAUUAAAAAAAAUAUCCAAAAAAAUUAAUUAUUAAAAUGACGAAAAUACCCCUACCACAUUUGAUGCAUUAUUUUGGGUUGCUUUUGAAUUUUUUUUAUUUGAGGGACAUUUUUGUCUAAUUAUUUUUGUUGAAGCUUGUGACACUAAAAAACACUAUUCAUUGGGCUUGUUGGCUUUAUAUAUAAGAUAGAGAGAAAAAAGGGUCCUAUAUUGAUUCAGACGUUGUACAUGCAGGAUAAGGAUAUUAAAAUUUAAAAAAAUUAAAUAAAUAAAUAACCAAAGAUUUCACAUAUUAUUUUUUAUCAAAAAAUCAAUCUAAUUAUUUAUUAACUGUCUAUUUACAAUACAUACGUGGUGAUCAAUUGAAUCUUCAAUUAAUUAACAUCUUUUUUUUUUUAUUUUUUUUUAUUGACCUCCUACUUCCUUUAAUCCACGGGAUGUCAAGUUUAGAUUGCUAGUCGAUUAUAUUAGUUUCUAGUAUGGGUAGGAAUAUAGUAUAUAUUGUGAUGCUUAGUUAUAUUUGACUACAUAUUUAGUUGUUCAUUCACUUAGUUUGUGAUACCGUCAGUUAACCGUUACAGAAUAUUUCAUUUUUGAGGUAUUCAUCAAUUUACCCUCUGAACUUGUAAGGAUUUGCCAAUUUCCCCCCUCAACUUUAAUUUUGUCCAAUUUUCCCUUCUCAACUCUCAUUAUUAGUCAAUUUGCACCUUACAGUUAACUUUUUUAAUUUUCCAUCCAUUUUUCCCUUAAGUUGGUCAUGUGCUAUCCGUAUGACCACCUUUAAAGGGCAAAAAAGUCAUUUCCUACACCUUCCAUCUACUUCCUUUUCUCCACCCACACUUUGUACUCCCCAAAGUCUUCUUCUCUGUUAGAGAAGCAACUCAGUUCUUUAGCUCCCAAGACUGCCCUUCAAUCACCACCCUCCCCGAUGAUGGCGUGGACUCCGACGAAUCAGACGACGGCCACGUGAUUUGCCGUCCUCAAGCAGUCAACGUAGACCCUUACAUCCGCUGCCUCUUCAUCCUCCAACACUCCUGCCCCCAAAACGCAGUCUUCCACUUCGUCACCUUCGUUGACGCCAACGCCUCCCUCCUCCGCUGUUUGCAGCCCAGUCCAUUUGAUAUGCUGGUUUUGCAAUUUGCAGUUUCCAGCUGAGUUAAGAGAGCGAGUCAGUCAGCAGCUUGAAUCAAAGAGAUGAUGUGAGAGAAAGAAUUGAGGAGAAAGGGAAAAAAAAUGGAGGGAGACAGAAGUUGGAAACGGAUUGGGGCCAAUAGUCUUAAAUUUCAGGUAGACAAGUCAUAGGCCCACUGCAACAACACCGAUACUGUCCCCACUUGGACACCUGCUCAAUCCGUCAGGUGUAGGGUUUUAAUACAAAAGACCUCGGUGUUAAUUAGAAUGGAGUAAUUCUAUAUAAAUGGCUUGUUCUUAAGCCUUCUAACCGAUGUGGGACAAAGGAAUUCUAAUACUCCCCUGCACGUGAGACCCUAUUUUAUGGGUCACACGUGGAGUUCCACACAUCGACAACCACGUGGAGCCAAGCCGGGGCUCACCCGUUCGCGCUGGGCCAAUGCAUGUGGCAUCUCUUGGCCUACGUGGAGCCAACUAGGGGCUCACCCAUUCGCGCGGGGUCAAAGGGGACCCACCUGAUCACAUGGAUGUACGGGCCCGUCCCCUGGCUCUGAUACCAUCUUAAAUUUUAGGUAGACGGGUCAUGGGCCCACUCCAACAAUACCGAUAUUGUCCCCACUUGGGCACCUGCUCAAUCCGUCACGUGUAGGAUUUUAAUACAAAAGGCCUCGGUUUUAAUUAGAGUGAGGUAAUUCUAUAUAAAUGACUUGUUCUCAAGCCUUCUGGCCGAUGUGGGACAAAGGAAUUCUAACAAAUAGUGAGCCGGAUCGCAGCCAAGUGAGGAGAAAGAGACAACGAAGAUUGUGGAGUUGCAAAGCCGCAAGCGACACCUGAGUGUAGAUCUAAAACCUCAAAAUCUUCGACGGCUUACAAAAGUAAACGCUAUUCGCUCAAGACUCAGGAGAGAGAGAGAGAGAGAGAGAGAGAUAGGGUGUUGAGGGAUGGGCUGCUUGGUUGCGGUGGGCUGCUGGCGGCUAAGUUGUGAGAAUAAGAGAGUUCGAAGAAAAGGAAGAAGAUAGAAGUUGUAGGGAAAAUGACUUUUUUGCUCUUUUAAGGUAGUCAUCUCGAUAACAUGUGACCUACUUAACGGAAGAAUGGAUAGAAAAUUAAAAAAAUUAACAGUAUGAUGAAAAUUGACUAAUAAUGAGAGUUGAGGGGGAAAAUUGGCUAAAAUUAAAGUUGAGGGGAGAAAUUGGCCAAUCCUUGUAAGUUCAGGACGUAAAUUGAUGAAUACCCCGUCCUUUUUUUGUUACCUGGCUUAGGGGUGGUUUGGGAGUGAGGUGCUUAAAAAAAAAGCACCCAUGAAAAAAAGCUGUGAGGGUUUUAGGUGUUUGGUAAACUGAAAAAAAAUGGCUUAUUUUGGAAGCUGCUGUGAGAAUAAGUUGAAAUCAAAGGAAAAAGCUGAAGCUGCUAUUUGCAGCUUUGGAAAAUUGGCUUUUUUUUCAAAGCACACGGAGCUACAAUGCUCCUUUAAUGAAAAAACCUACUAUCAGAUUGUUUUUUUUUUUCCAAAAACACUUUUACAAAAAAGUUUACCAAACACUCUGCUGAUUUAUUUCACAGCCGCUUAUUCUCACAGCACAGCCGCUUAUUCUCACAGCAGUUUUUUUUCAAAGCACAACAAUACCAAACCAGCCCUUAGUCCAAAAUGCCGUAACUACAUGGCUUUCUUUACUCGUAUCAACUUCCCACAUGGUAAUUACCAAUCCAAGAAAGAAAAUAAAUGUAUCGGAUUCUGAAGAAAUACUCAUGCAAUAUCAAAUUAUUUGUUGCGGAAGACUCGAAUCAUUUGCUUUCUUUUGGCAUAAUCUUUUUGAAUUCAUAAAAAUAUCAAUCUAAAACCCGUUUGCUAAGGAAUUUAUUUUAGUUUUUAGGAUUCAAUUUUUAAUUUUUUUUGUUAAAGACAAAAGAACGUAAAGAAAUGGAUUUAGAAUGGAACACAAAUGAAACUAAAGAUGAAAAGUUCUUCUCUAAGAUUCUGAGUUGUUGGAAGGAGAACCCUCCUGACAUAUGUUCUUCUCCAAGGUGGUAAAAUUUAAUUUACCCAACGUUCUUAAAGAAGCAUUUGAAAAGAAAGAAAAUUGAUGAUUAUUAGGGACGGGGAGGAAUUCGAAACUACUACAAUAAUUUACAGAAAUGGAGAGUUUCGAACCCGGAAUACUUGGGUAGAAAUCUAACAUCCUAUCCACCAGAAUGACCACAUGCCAUCUUGAAUUCCACUUGAAAAGAAUUUGGUGAAGAAACAAGAAAAUGCCAGUUGAGAAGAAUUAGAGUACAAGUAUGGGCCUGUAGAGCCGAAGGUAAUCCGCUGAAGGAUGAACAACUAAGUCACCUCGCAUCGUACAUGACCAAGUCACCAACAGCAAGUAAAAGCUGCGGGAAAGAAAUUACCAUGAGUAUUAAUUUUCAAACUAAUUCUGCAUAUUAAAACAGAUAGCCUGAUAUGACCGCAGCAGAAAAGCUCGCUUACUUUAUAUGUUGCAACUUUACAUCUUCAACAGCAUAAUCUGCCACCGUUGAAGCAUGGUGAGUUCCAUGAAAGUAAAACCCCCUCGAAGACUCUCAUGAGUGAUAUCAUGGUCCAAUGAGCUUGCUGCAAAAUGAACAUUUCAUAUUGGUACUCUCAUAAUAAUAUCACUCAACAGUUCAUCGAGUUACUCGAGCGAUAUCAAUUACAAACAAAAUCAACAGAAUUCAGAUCACUGUGCAUAUGAUUCAGAAAUUACAAGUAGCCCCAAAACUAUCGGUCUAAAAUCUUCAUAAGAAACCAAUGAAAUAAGUAAACUGCAAGAGAUCGAAGCAACAAAUAUGAUAAAUCUACCACUCCAUUGUGAUCAGGAUAAAAAAUCAUUAGCCGAUAAUUUUAAGACAACAAUCUGGCCAGAGGCAAAAUUCCACUUAAAAAGUUUUGGGACAAAACAAUGUGAAUCAGAAUCAGAACUAGUCUGGGUCUGUGACUAAUCGUGAUUGACUUAUGGCUGAACAACCAAAUCCGGUUCGAUUUCAAUGUAUUUCUCAACAACGUUAUGAACCAAUUCGGAAAUUACAUGCUAGCUUGAAAAGGCCUGUAAGGCAAGUAAAUUACUGAACAAGGUAGAAUGAGAAAUGUAGCAUGCAAUGGCUGAAAGAAGGAUGAAACAAUAUCUAAAACAACAAAAACCACAUCUGGAAAAACAUAUCUUGUGCUACAGUACUUGGACUCUGUUGUACCUACUGCACUACAUCGUUCCAGUUGAGUUGAGUAAGAGCGUCAUGAAAAAUGCCAAAGGAUGCUAAAAGAGUUAUAUAUGCCUAUUGGAAACACAACGUAUAUAGCAAGUUGACUCAACUACUAGAAGAGGAAAGGAGGUGGAGUUUGAAAAACUUACGUUGCUUAAUUCACUCCGACAGUAAAGCGGUGACGCAUUGCAUAGCUUUGGCAAAAGGUAGAUUCAUCAAAUUCUUGUAAUUCCUAAUCCCCAGCACUAUAAGGGAUGUAAGGUUACCCAACAAGUCUGGUAAAGUCUCCAGUCCCUCAAGUAGUUGAUAUAUAAACCAGUUAAAGAAAAGUGUUGAAUUUGAUGAGGCAGAGACUUGAGCUUUGGCCACCCUUUAAAAUGUAACAAUUCAUGCCGCAAUGAUCAACCUUGAACAUCAGGAAUGGAAUUGAGCUCCUCCCCGAACCUGCCAAUGGCGAAUUUUAUCAAUUUCGGGUUUGUAGACCUUUCCACCGAUUUCUUAAAUUUGCCAAAUUAUAAAAUCCCUAACUUAGCAUUGCAACUGAUGAUUCUUUACCUAAUUUCUGCAAUAAUGCAGGCAUUUAACAGUUCAUCAAGUUACUCAAGGGGAUAUGAAAUAGCAAUUCAAUAAUCAACUGUAUUCAAACCAUUGUUCAUCAGAUUAAAAAAAAAAUUGUUCAGAAAUCACAAGUAACCAUAAAAAUAUCAUCCGAAAAACUUUGUAAGAAUAAUAACAGACGGAAAGCAAUUGCAGUAAAUCUAUAUUUAUAUUAUCUGAACAUGGUUUUACAUGAUCACAAGUCUUGGCAUUACUCUUCCAAGUUUAUAACAAGAUUUGAAUACCAUGAUCGGAAAUUUAAUACCUUGUACAUCAGCACUUGGACAGAGUUUCCACUCAUUGAUUAUCCUGAAAACGGCCACAUCAUGCCAAAAGAAAUAUAGAUGCCAGUGGGAAACACACAACACAUAUAGUAAGUCAGAAGUCAACAGUACAUUGUAUUGAUCAAUUAGAAGAGGAGCAGGUGUGUGGUUUGAAAAGCUUACAUGACUUGAUUUCAAUGCAAAAGUUCGAGCCGUUUGGAUUUGUUUGUACAUAAAAUAUGGAAUACAAGUACUCUUGGAGAACUGUGUAGCCAUUCCCCUUAAAGUUCCAUCCCCUGAAUAUCAAACUGUACAUACUUUGGUGCCUAUCUACAAGAACAAGGGCGACGUACAAAAUUGCAUGAACUAUAGGGGUAUUAAGCUAAUGAGUCAUACAAUGAAGCUCUGGGAGAGAGUCAUUGAGCAUAGAUUGAGGCAAGAGACACGGGUUUCGGACAACCAAUUCGGGUUCAUGCCAGGGCGCUCAACCAUGGAGGCAAUCUAUCUCUUACGAAGAUUGAUGGAAAGAUAUAGAGAUGGGAAAAAGGAUUUACACAUGGUCUUUAUAGAUUUGGAAAAAGCGUAUGAUAGGGUCCCAAGAGACAUUCUUUGGAGAAUUUUAGAGAAGAAAGGAGUACGAGUAGCAUAUAUCCAAGCUAUAAAGGAUAUGUAUGAAGGAGCAAAGACUGCCGUAAGAACUCAUGAAGGACAAACCGAAAGCUUCCCCCAUAACUGUAGGAUUACAUCAAGGCUCAUCCUUAAGUCCUUACCUUUUUGCGUUGGUAAUGGAUGAGUUAACAGGACAUAUUCAAGAUGAUAUUCCUUGGUGUAUGCUUUUCGCAGACGAUAUAGUGUUGAUAGAUGAAACUCAGGAAGGGGUAAAUGCAAAGCUUAACCUUUGGAGAGAAGUGUUGGAAUCUAAAGGUCUUCGCCUAAGCCGAUCAAAGACAGAAUAUAUGGAGUGCAAGUUCAGUGCAAAUGGAGGCCAAAACGAGUUAGGGGUGAGGAUCGGAGAUCAAGAAAUACCAAAAAGCGACCGUUUUCGUUACCUAGGAUCUAUCUUGCAAAAGAACGGAUAAUUAGAUGGAGAUCUCAACCAUAGAAUACAAGCUGGAUGGAUGAAGUGGAAGAGUGCAUCCGGCGUGUUGUGUGACCGCCGUAUGCCACUUGAAGCUCAAGGGAAAAUUUUAUAGGACGGCAAUAAGGCCGGCGAUGCUGUAUGGCACAAAAAUGUUGGGCGGUGAAACAUCAACACGUACACAAAAAUGGGUGUAGCGGAGAUGAGGAUGCUUCGUUGGAUGUGUGGGCACACGAGAAAGGAUAAGAUUAGGAAUGAGGAUAUCCGGGGUAAAGUAGGAGUAGCCGAAAUUGAAGGAAAGAUGAGAGAGAAAAUCGGUUACGGUGGUUUGGACAUGUGCAAAGAAGGCCUACUGACGCUCCGAUUAGAAGAUGCGACUAUGGGACAGAGGUUCAGGGCCGAAGGGGUAGAGGAAGACCUAGGAAAACUUUGGAAGAGACUCUAAGAAAAGACUUAGAGUACUUGGAUCUAACGAAGGACAUGACACAGGAUCGAGCACAAUGGCGUUCUAAGAUUCAUAUAGCCGAUCCCACUCAGUGACUUGGAUUUUCCAAGUCUCCAAUCGAGAAGUUUUCCUCACUCGGGAAAUUAAGGGAACACUACCCCAACCUACAUGCUCCACUCAGAAAGCUUCAACAUACAAGCUUCAACAAAAGAAAAUUCAAAGAACUUAGCGAAGAAGGCUUUGGUGUAUUUAACACAAUACGUUGAAAUGAAGGAAAGCUUAUUUAUUGAUAUCCCCGAUCAGCUACAAAUAUGUACAUAUACAUGAGUCAAAAUAAACACACAAGACGGAGCCUUCACAAAGGUUGCUUAGGAGAAGUCUCAGCAGUCGGUAGAGCCCCAGAAAGAGAAGGCACCGGAGGGGGAUCAUUUGGAGUCUCAGUACUGGACAGAACCCUAGAAGGAGGAGGCAUCAGAGGUUGAUCAUUCGGAGCUUCAUUACGCGGUACAGCCCCAGAAGACGAAGGCAAUAAAUGCCUUUGGAACAAACCCACAAAUCUCUGAUGAUCAAGUAAAACCUGACCAUCAGUUUCCUUCAUCUGGUCAAGCUUCCUCUUCAUGUUUGUAGCAUAGUCAGGUGCGAGUCGGUGCAACUGUUUAUUCUCAUGCUUGAGCCCUCUAAUCUCCUGUUUGAGACUCAUCACUUCAGCCGCCAAGGAUUCAACUUGGCGGGUUCGAGCAAAUAGGCGUUGGGCCAUAUUAGACACAGAACCUGCACACUGAACACUGAGAGCCAGCGAAUCCUUAACAGCUAACUCAUCAGACCGUUUGGAAAGUAGUCUGUUAUCUUUGGGAGUGAGAAGGUUCCUGGCCACCACCGCAGCGGUCAUAUCAUUCUUCAUCACGGAAUCCCCAACGGUAAGAGGACCAGUAGGGGAGACGAAGGAUGGGCGCCAUAUGUUGUCUGGAGAAGGCGGGGCUGCCUCUUCAACAAGGUUCAAGUCAAAACAACGGUCGAAGGGGCCAGACAUUUUCAAAGGUGUUGAAGAGAGAAGAGGUCGGACAAAUCAAGAUCUUAGAAGUGCAAGAAUGAAGCUUCUACUGGUGGAGAUUCAAGUGUGCUUUGGAACUUAAUGUCAGCCUCUAUAAAAAUCUGCACUCGACGGAGCUUCAGAAAUCGAAGAGGCGCCUGCUCAGAAAUCGAAGAGGCGCCUGCUCAGAAAUCGAAGAGGCGUUUGCUUUCUCAAAAGCACGAGGGUUGAUCUCAGAAAUCGAAGAGGCGUUUGCUUUCUCAAAAGUUGGGCUGCUCAAAGACCACGAAGGCCGAUCUCAGAAAUCGAAGAGGCGCUCGCUUUCUCAAAAGCUGGGCUCCCCAGAGACCACGAGGGCCGAUCUCAGAAAUCGAAGAGGCACCUACUUUUCCAGCCUUGUCAGCACUCGUCACACGCACACUCAGCUUUGCAGAAAUUAUGAGCAUUCUGUCGAAGACUUCUGGGGAAGUAGAAAACACAUGAAUCUUACUGUUCAAUCACCCACUUCCCACACGCAACAAUAGCUCAUGGGUACCACAGAUAACUUUGCCAAAGUUCUCUGCCAAAGUUGAGCACGUGAAGCUUGCAGCUCCCACUACAUCGCUCUGACCAAGAAGGGUAAAAGAAUAGCAAAGAAACAGCACUAACAAAGUUUAGACCCAUAAAUUUUGAAGGUCUAGCUACCAUAUUAUUACCCACAAGGGUAAAGGAACAGUACCACUGCUGGAUAAUUGGAAAGUCCUUGUGUGUCAACCUCUGUGCUUCGUGGCAAGGUAGACUAGCAAACAUGCCCAACCUUUACUCACAUUCGAGAAAAACACUCCCAAUAAGAUUGCUUGCUCCAAAAUCGAAGAGGCACCGUCCUCCGAAUCUCGAGAGCCAGACUCCCAACAUGACUACUUUCUUAAAAAUCGAAGAGAGGGUAAAGGAACAGUACCAUUGCUGGAUAAUUGGAAAGUCCCUGUGUGUCAACCUCUGUGCUUCGUGGCAAGGUAGACUAGCAAACAUGCCCAACCUUUACUAACAUUCGAGAAAACACUCCCAACAAGAUUGCUUGCUCCAAAAUCGAAGAGGCACCGCCCUCCGAAUCUCGAGAGCCAGACUCCCAACGUGAUUACUUUCUCAAAAAUCGAAGAGACACUGCUCCCCGAAUCUUCGAGAGCCAGACCCCCAGCAUGAUUGCUUUCUCAAAAAUCGAUGAGGCAUCGUUCUCCGAAUCAAUCGAAGAGGCGCUCGCUUUCUCAAAAGCUGGGCUGCUCAGAGACCACGAGGGCCGAUCUCAGAAAUCGAAGAGGCACCUACUUUUCUAGCUUUGUCAGCACCUGUCACACGCACACUCAGCUUUGCAGAAAUUAUGGGCAUUCUGUCGAAGACUUCUGGUGAAGUAGAAAGCACAUGAAUCUUACUGUUCAAUCACCCACUUCCCACACGCAACAAUAGCUCAUGGGUACCACAGAUAACUUUGCCAAAGUUCUCUGCCAAAGUUGAGCACGUGAAGCUUGCAGCUCCCACUACAUCGCUCUGACCAAGAAAGGUAAAAGAAUAGCAAAGAAACAGCACUAACAAAGUUUAGACACAUAAAUUUUGAAGGUCUAGCUACCAUAUUAUUACCCACAAGGGUAAAGGAACAGUACCACUGCUGGAUAAUUGGAAAGUCCCUGUGUGUCAACCUCUGUGCUUCGUGGCAAGGUAGACUAGCAAACAUGCCCAACCUUUACUCACAUUUCGAGAAAACACUCCCAACAAGAUUGCUUGCUCCAAAAUCGAAGAGGCACCGUCCUCCGAAUCUCGAGAGCCAGACUCCCAACAUGACUACUUUCUCAAAAGCGAAGAGAGGGUAAAGGAACAGUACCAUUGCUGGAUAAUUGGAAAGUCUCUGUGUGUCAACCUUUGUGCUUCGUGGCAAGGUAGACUAGCAAACAUGCCCAACCUUUACUCACAUUCGAGACAACACUCCCAACAGGAUUGCUUGCUCCAAAAUCGAAGAGGCACCGCCCUCCGAAUCUCGAGAGCCAGACUCCCAACAUGAUUACUUCCUCAAAAAUCGAAGAGACACUACUCUACGAAUCUCGAGAGCCAGACCCCCAACAUGAUUGCUUUCUCAAAAAUCGAAGAGGCAUCGUUCUCCGAAUCUCGAGAGCCAGAUACCACAGACCACUUUUUCAAAGUGCUCUGACAGAGUUAAAACAUGUGAAACUGGCAGCUCCCACUACCGUGCUAUGACCAAACAGGGUAAAGGAAUAGCAUUACUACUUGUUUUUAGGAAGACUCCUAUAUAUGUCGACCUCCAUCCCCAACGGACAGGCAGACCUGCAAAAAUGCUCAACCCUUCAUCAUAUCUGAGAGGGCACUCCCAACGAAGCCUUUCGAAAUAUUCAGCUUUCUUUCCCCCCGAUAAUACCUCUGCAAACAAGCUAUACUAGAGCAAGAAUAUCUCAUAUCAUCAGGGUUAAAAGCAAGAGUAUCCCAUAUCAUGCUUUUUCCCUGUCUUUUCCUUUGGCCUUGUUUUUACCUGCAAGACAAGGAGAAAGAGAGCAAUCAGUCAGCACUUGGAAUCAAGCUUCCAGCCAGGAACUGACUGCCUGGAACCCCUUACCUGAUUACUUACCUGGCAUUGCUCUCGAGUACUCAUCUUCAACAUCUUAUGUUUCCAGGGAAGAUUCCGCAUCUGCUUGAGGAACAGAUAGGGCAAGUGCGAAGGAUACAAGGAAGCAUGUGGAGACAAGCGUAACAGCACACGUGCCGAUACACCCAUUACUCUGUCAAAAGCAAAAGUAUCCCAUAUCAGCAGGGUGGAACGUACUCUAGAUUUGAUGGACUUGUUUUGACCCUCAAAUUCUUCAGUCGGCCUUAUACUCUGGAGGAAACCAGAAAACCCUCCAGCUCAGUUCAAGAAUAAGCCUGUGGAAAGUUACUUCUUCAAAAGCAAAAGUAUCUCAUAUCAUCUCUUCUCAUUUUUCUUCUCUUUAUCCUUCAUGCUGCUGCAAGAUGGGGAGAAGGUGAACAAUCAGUCGGAGCUCUGAUUGCUUACCUUGUCUGUCACCUCUUUCAGCAGACCCCCUAGCUCGGCGACUUGGGGGACUCCUACUACAUGGUUUGUAUCGCGCUUGACCAAGCCUGAGAACUACAAGUAAGCUUCAAGUGAAAUUGAUACAUUACCUUGUGCAUCUCCACCAGUUAAAGAUACCACCCCUGGAUGGAGGAAGAGUACUUCCAGAGAAGAUGCCACAUCUACCUAUGAGACAGAUAAGGCAAGUCAAGACGACACCACACUCCGAUACUUAGAAGUUUCGUGAUUACGAGAUCAUUCUCCCACAAUAUUUCCUAAUGUCAUUUGUACUAAAUCAUUCACUUGUACUCACUAAAUGAGAGCUUGAACCUAUGUACUUGUGUAAACCCUUCACAAUUAAUGAGAACUCUUCUAUUCCGUGGACGUAGCCAAUCUGGGUGAACCACGUACAUCUUGUGUUUGCUUUCCUAUCUCUAUCCAUUUAUAUACUUAUCCACACUAAUGACCGGAGCAAUCUAGCGAAGAUCACAAAAAGCGACCGUUUUCGCUACCUAGGAUCUAUCUCGCAAGAGAACGGAGAAUUAGAUGGAGAUCUCAACCAUAGAAUACGAGCUGGAUGGAUGAAGUGUAAGAGUGCAUCCGGCGUGUUGUGUGACCGUCGUAGGCCACUGAAGCUCAAGGGAAAAUUUUAUAGGACGGCAAUAAGGCCAGCGAUGUUGUAUGGCACAGAAUGUUGGGCGGUGAAGCAUCAACACGUACACAAAAUGGGUGUAGCGGAGAUGAGGAUGCUUCGUGGGAUGUGUGGGCACACGAGAAAGGAUAAGAUUGGUAAUGAGGAUAUCCGAGGUAAAGUAGGAGUAGCCGAAAUUGUAGGAAAGAUGAGAGAAAAUCGGCUCCGAUGAUUUGGACAUGUGCAAAGAAGGCCGACUGACGCUCCGGUUCGAAGAUGUGACUACGGGACAGAGGUUCAGGGCCAAAGGGGUAGAGGAAGACCUAGGAAAACUUUGGAAGAGACUCUAAGAAAAGACUUAGAGUACUUGGAUCUAACGGAGGACAUGACACAAAACCGAGCGCAAUGGCGUUCUAGGAUUCAUAUAGCCGACCCCACUUAGUGGGAAAAGGCUUUGUUGUUGUUGUUGUUGUUGUUGUUGUACUAGUGGAGACAGAAUAAAAGAACAAAAAAGAAAAACAUACAACAUGAGCUCUGUAAUAUGAUUUCAAGAAUUUAAAAACUCACUAGUGAUAUUUGGAAUGUGAGAAAUCUUAGGCCAAUCUGUGCCGCUGUCCUCGGUGCAUCAUUCCUUUAGAUGGGGAUGACAUCCAGAAAUAUAGAGAGUUUGUAAGUUGGUGAGGUGUUGCAUAGCUUGGACACUAGGUAAGCUCUUCAGAUUAUUGCAAGAAAGAAUCCUCAGCUAUUUAAGGGAUGUAAGGCUACCCAACCAUUCCGGCACAGUCUCCACUCCGUCAAAUGAAAAUAAUGAAAGUUUCUUUUCUUAAUAAAUAACAAAACUGUGAAUAAUUUUACCUUGUCAAUAUCUCUGAUUGGACAUUUUCCUCUUAUGUACACAUGAUAGCCCGUGGAAGCUUCCACCCGCUUUAGGGAAUUGCCACAACCUAGAGAAGGGGUGAAUACAUAAGAGUAAGCAACACAGUGGAUCAAAAUGAAUUCUCAAUUGAGAAAGCCGCCUAAUGCAAAUAGAUGAAUUUAGAAAAAGUCAGUGGAUAACUGACCCAGGAAGAAACAAUGCCGUAGGCUGAUACGUAAAGAGUAUUUUGGCAGUGUUCAUGUCCACAAAAAAGUAAGCAACAUUGUGACUCAACCUGUGGAUAGAAGACCACCAUAAUUAACUCCCAAACUCCCCGGACAGCGUUGCACAUUCUAAUCCCACAUCAGGAACGAUACGAGUCUUCUGAGUGGAAUACUACUGGGUAUCUCUCAGGACCUUUAGGGAAACAUGAUUGAAGUUGAAGAAUGAUAUUGAUCCGCCUAUGAGCUUUGAUCGGAAUCCCAAUAUCCCUGUACAAAGAUAACACCAAAACAACUUAAAGAAAAAUAUAAACAACAAAUUUCAAUCUUUCUCACAUCUUGAAGAAACAUUCCAGUCAUGGUUCAACACUUAGAUUCACAAUAAGUACUCCCACGCCAUUAACUGAGAAACUCUUCAAGUCCUCUGGUACCUCGGAAUUUGGAAUUCUCGAUUGUCAAUUGAAGCUAAUGAAGAAAAUGCCAGUUGAGAAGAAUUACAUAACACAGUAUAAUAAAAUCACAAAGAGAACAAGUCUGGGCCUGUAGAACCAAAGGUAAUCCGCUGAAGGAUGAACAAUUAAGUCCCCUCAAAUUUGUUAGCAUCAUAUAUUUCUCAGCAACCUCGCGAGACAUUUGAGAAAUUACAUGCCCCAACUUGGUGCCAACAGCAAGUGAAAAGCUGCAAGAAAGAAAUCACUAUUGAGUUUUAACUUUCAAACUAAUUCUGUAUAGUAUUAGUAAAACAGAUAGCCUGAUAUGACCACAGCAGAAAAGCUUGCAUACUGUUUAAGUUGCAAUUUUGGCAACAGGAAUACCUCUCCUCUAGCAUUUUCGUUUCCUAUCCCAUAGAAUUUUAUAUCCUCAACAGAAUACCCUGCCACCGCUGAGUCAUAGCGAGUUCCAUAAAUGAACAAGCCCUCGAAGACUUUCAUGAGUAAUAUCAAGGUCCAGUGAACUUGCUGCAAAAUAAACAUUUCAUAUGGCUACUCUCAUAAUAAUCUCUCUUGAUAAUUUCAGCAAUAAUACAGGUACUCAACAGUUCAUCAAGUUACUCGAGCGAUAUCAAUUACUGACACAAAAUCAAUAGAAUUCAAAUCACUGUGCAUAUUACAAGUUGCCCCAAAACUAUGAGUCGAAAAUCUUCACAAGAAAGCAAUUACAAGAGUUCUAUAUAUUAUAUUAACGUCGUUAACCUGAAAACAAGUCUUGGGAUAAUAUAAACAAAUUUCCUCAUUGUGCAUGAACCAAUGGAAUAAGCAACCUGCAAGAGAUGGAAGCAACAAAUGUGGUAAAUCUACCACUGCCAUUGUGAUCAGAAUAAAAAGUCAUUAGCAUGUAAGGGAUGAAAGGAUGAAAUAAUAUCUAAAACAACAAACACCACAUUUCUGUAAAAAAAAAACAUAUCUUGUGCUUCAGUACCUGGACUCUGCUUGCACCUACUGCACUACAUCGUUCCCGUUGCGUAGUUUCAAUCCAAGUAUUGUCUCAGACCACAACUGAUCAUUUAAAAGAAAAGAGAGAAGGAUAAACAAAUUAUGUUAUACUAGUUUAAAUUUGAGUGUACUACUAGUGGAGACACGGAAUAAAAGAAGAAAAAUGAUAAACAUAUAACGUCAGCUCAGAAAUUUGAUUUCAAUAAUUUAAAAACCUUACUUCUGAAAUAUGGAAUGUGAGAAAUCUUAGGCCACUCUGUGCCGCUGUCCCUGCUGCAUCUUUCCUCUAAAAGGGGAUGACAUCCAUAAAUCCUUGGAGAUUGUAAGUUGGUGAGGCGUUGCAUAGCUUGGACACUUGGUAAAUUCAUCAGAUUCUUGCAAUCCCAAAUCCACAGCUCUUAAGGGAUGUAAGGCUACCCAACCAUUCUGGUAAAGUCUCCACUCCGUCAAUGCAGAAGUUGGAGCCAUGUGGAGUCGUUGUACAUACAACUGGAAUAAAAGUAAUCUUGGAGAACUGUGGCCUUGCACACCAUGAAAUUUGGUAAGGUGCUGCCUACCAUCGAUUCAACUGCUGUGUGACUUAAAAAGGAGAAGGAUAAACAAAUUUUGUUAUAGUACGUGCUUUGAAUUUUUGUGUAGUAAUAGUGGAGACACAGAAUAAAAAAACAAAAGAGAUAAACCUAUAACGUGAGCUCUGUAAUUUGAUUUCAAUAAUUUUAAAACAUACUUAGGAUAAGUGGAAUGUGAGAAAUCUUAGGUCAAUCUGUGCCAUUGUCCCUGGUGCAUCUUUGCUUUAGAAGGGGAUGACAUUCAUAAAUAGUCAGAGUAUGUAAGUUGGCUCGGCGUUGCAUAGCUUGGACACUAGGUAAAUUCAUCAGAUUCUUGCAAUCUUGAAUGUCCAUCUCUGUAAAGUAUGUAAGGUUACCCAACCAUUCUGGCAAUGUCUCCACUCUGUCAAAUUGAUAUAUCACCAAAAAUGUUAGAAGUGAGGUGUUGAAUUUGUUGAGGCGGAGACUUGAGCUUAGGCCAACCAUACAAGGCUAAAAAUCAGGGAAGGAAUCGAGCUCCUCCCAGAACCGACCGAUUUCCAAAUGAUGGAGAGAAUGGAGGCUGUCUAAACUUGGAAGACUCUCUAAAUUCGGGAUGUCUCUUAUUGUCAGCGCCUCAAACGAGAGUGGGAAUUGCAGGCUUGAAAAUUAUCUUGAGUAAUUGAAGAUUCUUUUACCUAAUUUUUGCAAUAACAGGGUAUUUGACAUUUCAUCAAGUUAGUCAAGGGAUAUGAAAUAGAGAUAAAUAAAUCAACCAAAUUCAAAUCACUGUUUAUACGAUUUGAACACUGUUCAUAAAUCACAAGUCGGUCGUACCCAGUGCACAAGGCUCCCGCUUUACGCAUGGUCUGGGAGAGGUGAAUGUCGGCUAGCCUUACCCCCAUUUAUGGAGAGGCUGCUCCCAAGUCUCGAACCCGAGACCUACCGCUCAUGGGCGAAGGCACUUGCCAUCGCACCACUUGUUCAUAAAUCACAAGUAACCAUAAAAAUAUCAGUCCAAAAUCUUCAUAAGGAUAACAAUAACAAACAGAAAGUAAUUGCAGUAGUUCUAAAUAUUAUAUGAACAUGGUUUUACAUGAUGACAAUUCUUGGCAUUACUCAUCUAACACUACUUGGGUGCUGGCAGUGUGUGAUUAAACAAGAUUCAAUACCAUGAUGGGUGAUCAAGCUAGUGGUUCAGCACUCCACUCAUACAGAUGAACUAAAGAAAGUUAAAAUAUUGAUUGAUGUUGCCGGCAUUAAGAAAGAUAACAUGUAAAGGAGAAUGCCCAAGGACUAUAAAAAGAGGUAUAUUAUUGAGAAAUGAAGGUAGAGCGAGAGAAUUAAUAUUGUGUGCAUCAGUACCUGGAGUCAGUUUAUAGCUAUUGAGCAUCAUGAAAAACGCCACAGCAUAGCAAAAGAAAUAUAGAUGGCACUGGGAAACACACAACAUAUAUAGUAAGUCAGAAGUCAACAGUAGAAUGUAUUGAUCAAUUAGAAGUAGAAGAGAAGAGGAGAUGUGGGUUUGAAAAUCUUACAUGACUUAAUUUCAAUGCAAAAGUUUGAGCCAUUUGGAGUCGUUUGUACAUAAAACUGGAAUACAAGUAAUCUCGGAGAACUGUGGCCUUGCACAUCAUGAAAUUUGAUUUUCCCAAUACACAUUUGUUGUAGUAUCGCAAGGCAUUGCAUAGCUUCAAUCCAACUGUUGUCUCAGAAGUCUCAGCCCCAAACUGAUUUAAAAGAAGAGGGAGAAGGACAAACAAAUUAUGUUAUACUAGUUUAAAUUUGAGUGUAGUACUAGUGGAGACAUGGAAUAAAAGAAGCAAAGAGAUAAACAUAUAACGUCAGCUUUGUUAUUUGAUUUCAAUAAUUUAAAAACUUACUGUCGAUUUUUGGAAUGUGAGAAAUCUUAGGCCAAUCUGUGUCGUUGUCCCUGCUGCAUCUUUCUUCUAAAAGGGGAUGACAAAUCCAAAUCUCUAGGAAUUGUAAUUUGAUCAGACCACAACUGAUCAUUUAAAAGAAAAGGGAGAAGGAUAAACAAAUUACGUUAUACUAGUUUAAAUUUCAGUGUAGUACUAGUGGAGACACGGAAGAAAAGAACAAAGGAUAUAAACAUAUAACGUCAGCUCUGUUACUUGAUUUCAAUAAUUUAAAAAACUUACUUGUGAUAUCUGGAAUGUGAGAAAUCUUAGGCCAAUCUGUGCCGCUGUUCCUCAUGCAUCUUUGCUUUAGAAGAGGAUGGCAUCCAGAAAUAUACAGAGUUUGUAAUUUGGUGAGGCGUUGCAUAGCUUGGAAUCUUGGUAAAUUCCUCAGAUUCUCGCAAGACCAAAUCGUCAGCUCUGUAAGGAAUGUAAGGCUACCCAACCAUUCUGGCAAAGUCUCCACUCCGUCAAAUGAACAUAUCUCCAAAUGUGUUAGAGAAGUGAGGUGUUGAAUUUGUUGAGGCAGAGACUUGAGCUUAGGCCAACCCCACAACACUAAACUUGUAAGAUUCAUUAAUGAUGCAACUUGAAAAUCAGGAAAGGAAUCGAGCUCCUCCCAAAAUCCACCGAUAUCCAAAUGACGGAGAGAAUUAAGGCCGUCUAAACUUGGAAGAAUCUUUAAAUUAAGGAUACUGACUAUUGCCAGCGUCUCAAGAGAGAGUGGGAAUUGCAGGCUGCUCACCCAACUUUCUAAUCUUUCACAUCUUUCAAUCCACAUAAGUCGAAGGGAGGUCAUGAUGCGCAAAUCUGAAGUAGAUUGUAGACUAACUCCUCCUUCCCAACUCUGCUACUUUUGACACCAAACGAUGAUAGCUUUGGGCAUCCUCUUAUCCACAAUUCCUGAAGAGAUGGACAUUGUUGUGGAAGAACAGGUAUGCUUAUACUAGUUGUCUUAGAAGACUCAUUCCCAAACUGAUUUAAAAGAAGAGGGAGAAGGAUAAACAAAUUAUGUUAUAUUAAUUUAAAUUUGAGUGUAGUACUAGUGGAGACAUGGAAUAAAAGAAGAAAAGGGAUAAACAUAUGACAUCACCUCUGUAAUUUGAUUUCAAUAAUUUAAAAACUUACUUCUGAUAUCUGGAAUGUGAGAAAUCUUGCAUAGCUUCAAUCCAACUGUUGUCUCAGAAGAAGUCUCCUUCCCCAACUGAUUUAAAAGAAAAGGGAGAAGGAUAAACAAAUUAUGUUAUACUAGUUUAAAUUUGAGUGUAGCACCAGUGGAGACACGGAAUAAAAGAACAAAAGAGAUAAAUAUAUAACGUCACCUCUGUAAUUUGAUUUCAAUAAUUUAAAAAACUUACUUGUGAUAUCUGGAAUGUGAGAAAUCUUAGGCCAAUCUGUGCCGAUGUACCUGGUGCAUCUUUCCUCUAAAAGGGGAUGACAUCCAGAAAUCCAUGGUUUUUGUAAUUUGGUGAGGCGUUGCAUAGCUUGGACACUUGGUAAAUUCAUCAGAUUCAUCAAGUUACUCUAGCAAUAUCAACUACAGACACAAAAUCAAUAGUAUUCAAAUCACUCUGCAUACAAUUCAGAUAUUUCAAGUAGCCCCAAAACUAUCAGUCCAAAAUCUUCAUAAGAAAGCAAUUACAGCAGUUCUAUUUAUUAUAUCAACAUCAUUAUCCUGAAAACAAGUCUUGAGAUAAUAUAGAGUUAUAGACAAAUUUCCUCAUUGUGCAGGAAUCAAUGAAAUACGCAAACUGUAAGAGAUCAAAGAAACAAAUGUGGUAAAUCCACCACUACUAUUGUGAUCAGGAUAAAAAGUCAUUAGCAUGCAAUGGAUGAAAGGAUGAAACAAUAUCUUAAACAACAAACAACACAUUUCUGGAAAAAAAAAAAAAAACAAUAUCUUAUGCAUCAGUACCUGGAUUCUGUUUGCACCUACUGCACUACAUCGUUCCAGUUGCGUAGUUUCAAUCCAAGUAUUGUCUCAGACCUCAACUGAUCAUUUAAAAGAAAAGGGAGAAGGAUAAACAAAUUAUGUUAUACUAGUUUAAAUUUGAGUGUAGUACUAGUGGAGACACGAAAUAAAUGAAGAAAAGAGAUAAACACGUAACAUCAGCUCUGUAAUUUGAUUUCAAUAAUUUAAAAAACUUACUUGUGAUAUCUGGAAUGUGAGAAAUCUUAGGCCAAUCUGUGCCGCUGUCCCUCCUGCAUCUUUGAUUGAGAAGGGGAUGACAUCCCUCAAUACACAGAGUUUGUAAUUCAGUGAGGCGUUGCAUAGCUUCAAUCCAACUGUUGUCUCACAAGUAUCUGCCCCGAACUGAUUUAAAAGAAGAGGGAGAAGGAUAAACAAAUUAUGUUAUACUAGUUUAUAUUUGAGUGUAGUACUACUGGAGACACAGAAUAAAAGAAGAAAAAUGAUAUAAACAUAUAAUGUCAGCUCUGUGAUUUGAUUUCAAUAAUUUUAAAAACUUACUUAAGAUACGUGGAAUGUGAGAAAUCUUAGGCCAAUCUGUGCCGCUGUCCCUCUUGCAUCUUUCCUUUAGAAGGGGGUGACAUAUAAUUAUACGGAGAGUUUGUAAUUUGGUGAGGCGUUGCAUAGCUUGGACACUUGGUAAAUUCUUCAGAUUCUUGCAACCCCAAAUCCACAGUUGUGUAAGGGAUGUAAGGCUACCCAACCAUUUUGGCAAAGUCUCCACUCCCUCAAAGUGAUAUACAAACAAAUGUGUUAGAGAAGUGAGGCCUUGAAUUUGUUGAGGCAGAGACUUGAGCUUAGGCCAACCAUACAAGUAUAACCUUGUAAGAUGCAUUAAUGAUCCAACUUGAAAAUCAGGGAAGGAAUCGAGCUCCUCCCAGAACCCACCGAUUUCCAAAUCUUGGCAUUACUCAUCUAACACUACUUGGGCGCGGAUUUAAACUUGUCAUAGUACAAUGCUUGGAAAUAUCAUCUAGCAUAGCAACUGAAGAUUCUUUUACCUAAUUUCUGCAAAAAUGCGGGCAUUUGACAUUUCAUCAUGUUACUUAAGGGAUGUGAAAUAGAGAUAAAGAAAUCAACCAAAUUCAAAUCACUGUUCAUAAAUCACAAGUAACCAUAAAUUAUAUCAGCCCAAAAUCUUCAUAAGGAUAAUAACAAAGGAAUUGCAGUAAUUCUAUAUAUUAUAUGAACAUGGUUUUACAUGACUACAAAUCUUGGCAUUACUCAUCUAACACUACUUGGGCGAGGGCAGUGUGUGAUUAAACAAGAUUCAAUACUAUGAUGGAUAUUCAAGCUUGCGGUUCAGCACUUAUACAAAUGAACUAAAUAAAGUAAGCAUAUACCGAACUGAUGUUGCCGAAACUAAUAAAGAUAACAUGUAAAACAGAAUGCCCACGUGGUACCACGAAAAGAGGCUUGCUAGCUUGAUAAGGACUGUAACUUAAAGGUACAUCAUUGAGAAGGAAGGUAGAUCGAGAGAAUUAAUAUUUUGUGCAUCAGUACCUGGCCUCUGCUUGCACCUACUGCACUACAUCGUUCCAGUUGCGUAGUUUCAAUCCAAGUAUUGUCUCGGACCUCGUACUGAUCAUUUAAAAGAAGAGGGAGAAGGAUAAACAAAUUAUGUUAUACUAGUUUAAAUUUGAGUGUAGUACUACUGGAGACACGGAAUAAAAUAAGAAAAUAGAUUAACAUAUAAUAUAUACAACUCUUAGGAUAUUUGAUUUCAAUAAUUUAAAAACUUACUUGUGAUAUCUGGAAUGUGAGAAAUCUUAGGCCAAUCUGUGCCGCAGUUCUUGGUGCAUCUUUGCUCUAAAAGGGGAUGACAACCACGAAUCCCUAGAGUUUGUAAUUUGGUGAGGCGUUGCAUAGCUUGGACACUUGGUAAAUUCUUCAGAUUCUUGCAACCCCAAAUCCACAGAUAUGUAAGGGAUGUAAGGCUACCCAACCAUUCUGGCAAAGUCUCCACUCCCUCAAAGUCAUAUACAAACAAACCUGUUAGAGAAGUGAGGUGUUGAAUUUGUUGAGGCAGAGACUUGAGCUUAGGCCAACCAGACAAACUUAACGAUCUAAGAUGCAUUAAUGAUCCAACUUCAAAAUCAGGGAAGGAAUCGAGCUCCUCCCAGAACCCACCGAUCCCCAAAUCACGGAGAGAAUUGAGGCUGUCUAAACUUGGAAGAAUCUGUAAAUUAGGGAUUUUGACUAUGGACAGCGUGUCAAGAGAGAGUGGGAAUUGCAGGCUGCUCACCCAACUUUCUAAUCUUUCACAAUUUAUAAUAAACAGUUGUUGAAGGGAGGUCAUGGUGCGCAAAUCUGAAGUAGAUUGUAGACUAAUGCACUUCUCCUCCUUCUCAACUCUGCUACUUUGGACACCAACCCAUGAUAGCUUUGGGCAUCCAAUUAUCUCCAAGUACUGAAGAGAGGGACAUUGUUGUGGAAGAGCAGGUAUGCUUGAUAAUUCAUGGCAAUUCCAGAUUAUCAAGUUCUGAAGAGAGGCGGUGAGGGACCCGUUGCCUUUCAUUUCAAUUGAUGUCAGAUUAUUGCAAUACCUCAUAUCCAAUUCCACGAGAGAGGCCCACACACUCAAUCGGCCUGAUAAUCCAUCGCAAUUCAUUAAACUCACUUCCACGAGAGAGGCCCAUAAACUCAAUGGGCCUGAUAAUCCAUCGCAGUGAGUUAUACUCAAUUUCUGGAGAGAGGUGCAGUUCUUUAACCCACUCGGCAGGAGUGACAAUCGUCCACAACCUCCAAUCUCUAAUUCCCGUAGAGAUGCCAUGCCCUGUGCAAUUGGAAUCAACUCUAGACUAUCACAUCCCUUAAUAGUCAGUUCCUCAAGGAGCUGGAGCGUGUCUAGCCCAUCUGGCAAAUGCCUCAGCUUGUCGCAAUUCCAAAUGACUAAUUUUUUAAGAGAACCGCGAGAACCGACUACAUCUGGGGUAAUACACGUUAAAUCAUCGCAUUUCUUUAUAACCAAAGAAUAGAGAUUAUUAUUCUUCUUCAAAAUCCCCCGCGGCAAACAAGUAAGCUCCUUAAUACCUCUUAUUUCAAGAGAGGUAAGAGUUGUUAAUCCACUGCUUAUUUCUUCUAUUGGCGUUCUGCUAUCACAAGAAGACAUCUCCAACUUUUGGAGACAUGGAAAAUGACUCGGAGCAUUUCUCAAUUUGGAACAAUUUUCGACGGUCAACAUCUCGAGACAAGGAAAAACCACAACUUUUUUCCUUGACGUUGUUGGUGCUUGCUUCCAUUCAUUUAGAUCACCACAAUCAGAAAUAUAUAAUACUUUAAGCGCUGGAAAUAAAGUAAUUACCUCCUCACUUGUCGUGGCUAGAUUGUGGACAAGAUCAUAACCAUAGAACUCAUCUCCAACACAUUUCAAGUUAGCCAUUCCUCUAAUUUUAAGCUCCGUAAGACUGGGUAGAUGACCGAGCGGUGGGACUCCUUCACAUUUGUCACAUCCAAGUAAUUGAAUCCUCUUCAAGUUGUUGAGCGGUAAUGACCCACUCAUCAUCCAAGGUGGAAACUUGUUGCCCAUGAAGUUUGCAAUACUUAAGCUCUCCAACUCAAGAUGUGGUCGGAGGCCUUCUAGGACAUCUUCGUCCUCGUUGUUGUCUGUUGUUGACCUAUCUUCUGUCCAAUUGAAGCUUAAAUGGCGUAUUUUCGUCUUAUCCUCUAACUUUGCUUUCUUUGCUUCUUCUCCAUUCUUUACGAGUUGCAAAUUAGAAACAAUUAAUUCACCCUUCAAUUGUUUCAAGCUAGCCAACUCUUCAAUUCGACGACCAAUCUCAUUACCCACCGAAAAGUAAGGUAAUGUUCGAAGGCAAGUCAACCGACGUAUCCCUUUUGGGAAUUUGAUAUCCUCAUCAAAAUAAAUAUGUCUCAGGUUGAUCAAGUUUUGCAGUUCUUUCGGAAACUCUUCAAGGGCACAAUUCACUGCUCUUAAUGUCUGAAGGUUAUAGAGCUUGCCUAUAGAUUUGGGGAGUGCUUUGAAUCCUGUUUCAGAAAUGUCAAGAUACCUUAAGUGUUUCAGCCUACCAACUGAAACUGGAAGUUCUUCAAUAUUAGCAUUCCAUAAAUUCAAGACGCGUAAAGCUUUGAACUGUGGAAGAAUGUUAGUAGGAACUUCACCGUUGUCGGAAAACAGUGACCGCAAUUUCCUAGCACUUCUUGCUGGAAUAUUUUCCAGUGUAGAAGUAGAAACCCGAGCAACAUGUCGAAUCUCAAGUGUAUUAUCUCUGCCACAUAAGUCUCCCUUCAAGCUUUCAGAUUUGGACACAAGUUCUGCCAAAUCGUGCACAAGAUCAUGCAUCUUGCAUUUGCUAACAGUGCCAUUGUCACUAAUCGUAGCAUCUUGAAACAAAGAGCUAUGCAAUAGAAUAUCAAAAUACUCAUUGCCUGUGUCCUCCAUAUCUUUACUUUCGUCAUGUGAAGCUCGGAGUAGUCCUUGAGCCAUCCAAAGUUGAAUCAAGUUCUCUCUUUGAAUUUCAAAGUCUUUCUCGAAUAUUGAGCAAUAUGCAAAACAUUGCUUCAAUGAUGGUGAUUCUAAAUUGUCAAAACUCAAUCUCAAGACUGGCAUAAUUAUAUCUUCUUCUUUUGAUAGGUUGUCCCAUAUUGUAUUGUUUUUAAAUGACGGCCAUUCUCUGAUACUUUUUUUAGUGUGCAAAAUGCCUCCCAAAACCUGUUAAUUGGAUUAGUGAGUUCAAAUGCGUCCUAAAAUAAUGUAGAAAACAGGUUGUACAUAAGUAAAUUCAUUAAUUAAUUUGACUUCACACAUUUUGUUUGUUUUUUUGAAUGCCUAAAAUACCUCUAAUUACAUUUCUUUUUAUCAACGACCACCACUAUUUUGGUUUAGGGUUCAAAAUUGUUUUUACGGUAAAAGCAAUUUACCUAUUAGCAUUCUAUUUUACCUAGCUAAAAUAUAAAUAGAUAUAUUAUGUUGUUUUUGGUUUGAAACACACACAAAAUAAUGUAUCUAUUUUCCUUUUUCAUAGGAUUUAAUGUAUCUAUAUGUUAGUGUACCUACAUAGAAUAAAAAUAUUAAUAGUAAAAAUAAUUUACUUAUCUCAUUAUAGCUAUAUAAUGUACGCAAAAUUUUAUAUUAUUAUUUUUGAUCUAGCACAUUAUAGCUAUAUAUAUUGCAAUACAACUAAUUUACCGAUCCCUUGAAAUUUAAACAAGAUAGAUUAAUAUAGCUAUAUAUAUUAUUUUUAUAUAAAUUAAUCUACCUAUAUAUUAUUUAUAGAAAUAUUAUUUUUUGGUAUAUGUGGAAGACACAAUUUAGUGUGAGGAAUAACAUUUAUUGAAAAAUUAGGGUGAGUAAUAACAUCUUUGUGGCAUAUGUUGCAAAUAUUUAUAAUAACCAGUUAUUUAUUUGCAUAUACGGCAGAUUUUCAAAUUUAGGUUUUAUUUGAAUGUUUAACACUGGAUGAGUUUUUGUAUAGAAAGUAAAAGCUGCAAUGACCUAUCUCUCAAUAACCACUUUUGUAAUGAUGAUAUAUAUUCAAAUGAUGAUUACAAACAUGAAUGGUUUUGAUUCUAAAGUUUAUACAGUUAAAAUACGUUUUUCACAAGAACUUGUCCUUGUUUAUAAGGUGGUGCACCCAACGAGGUGGAUGCAAAUACCGUCCCAAUUUAUAAAUAGAAAUUUUAACUUUAAUCCUUAAAUAAUUUCACUUUUAGAUAAAUGUGUGGUGUAGGAUUAUAUAUUGAAAUAGUCAUUUGACUUCGUGUUCAAGUCAACAUUUAUAUUCCACAUCAUAUUUAUUAUUUUUUUCCUUUUAGAUUAACUUUUUUUUACUAUAAUACCCUUGUGUAAUUAAGGGAUAUGUGUCUUGUGUUGUACAUUUUUUAGGAGCCAUUUAUGGCUUAUUUUCUUACCUCGUUUGAAUUGAACUAAACAUAUUUGAGGACCAACCAUAUAUGCCUUCCAUACAUUUUCAAAUUAAUCAUUUUUUUAAAUUUUAUUAUAUGACGAGGUCGCAUGUAACCAUAUAUCUUUCAAUCAUAAACCUAUGAUGUACUGAACAAAAUAUUUGCACCUAAAUCAAGGGACCUAAAAUAUUGUACCUUUUUUGGUUUGAUACAAAGGGACCUAAGUUAAAGUGCCUAAGCAACUAUAAAUACAAUACAAAACGUUGUCAUACAAAUGAAAAUAAUGACUAAUUAACUCAGCAAAAUAGUUGCACCUAAAUAUGGCGUUAAUUGAUUAUAGGAAUUUCUUUUCUAUUUGAGAUCGAAUUGACUUAAGCAUUAACGUGAUAAUUAAAAUUGCCGUGUUAGAAUUAUCUAGCAUUACAUAUAAUAGGUAAGAAAAA
Molecule: long non-coding RNA, 70636 nt
Filed under: Malus domestica (apple)
Lineage: Eukaryota; Viridiplantae; Streptophyta; Magnoliopsida; Rosales; Rosaceae
Description: long non-coding RNA (MDOM_LNC009930)
Source: RNAcentral